UGUUACUUACUCUUGUGUCCUGCCGUUCAAAAGCCAUAGCCCUCACCUGUAAGUCUGGGUUCUGGACUUCUGGAGCUGAGUAUGUGUUCAGGAUCUAUAACAUUAACUUGAUAGUGGUUCUCGUGAGGAACUGAUGUACUGUUUAUGCUGAUAAAAGUUGGACAGUUGGAUUUUUUCAUUCAAGCUUUACUGUGCUCCAUGAUGUGUUUUGGCCUUGUGCGAUCAUAAUGCUAUCCUAUGUGCUACAAUUUCAAAAUGUAAGGUAUUAGUAGUUUUGACUUAAGUCAAACUUUCCUAAUUUUAACCAAAUUUAUAGAAAAAUGUACUAACAUUUAUCACAUCAAAUUAGUUUCAUUAAGUCUACUAUGUAAUAUAUUUUUAUAAUGCAUUUUUUUGGUAUUGUAUAUAAACUUGGUUAUAAUUACAUGAAUUUAAUUUACGACAACAAACAUCCUACAUUUUUAAGUGUAAUAAUGAGGAUAGGAUAAGUUUAGCGAUCACUGAAAAUUGCCAAAAGAAAACAAAAGAAUAUACAGAACGCGUUCACAUAUCUCGGCCCACAUGAAAAGCCCAUCACACUCGUGGCCCACUAGCACUAAUGCGUUGCAGCGAACUCCGUCCCGUACUCCCGUUGCCGUCCCCCUUGCUUUCGCUUCCAAUCCACCGAUCAGCCGCGGCUGCCGGCUCGUGUCCGUCUCCCCUCUCCCGGGUCCCGGUUCCUCGGCGUCUCGCUCGUCAACGCCAGCGCCGGCGCGCGCUCCCACCGCCGACCCGCGCACCUCGCCUUCGAUUCCGCCGACACACGCGCUGCCGCAGGGGAGGACGGAUCGGCGCUCCGCAGGUGCAUCUCUUUCCGCGGCGCGCGGAUCUAACUAGCUACUUUAUCUUGCAUUCAGUGGCGUGCGAUAGUAGCUGGGGGACUCCUGCGGGCGGCUUUUGCGCGUAGGUCUUUUUCGUUGCGGAUUAUUGUGCAGUAAUUUUGCUUGAAGAACCAAUAGGAUCGUGUAUAAUUUGGUAAGUGUAGGGCAGUAGUUUUGGGAGCUUUGUUAAAUGGUCGUCGGUUGGAGAAGCCUCUUUAUGUUUCCUCCAUUAACUCGGGUGUACCACGCUGAAAAACAGAAAAAGGAAUUCGGCCAGUGGUUCACUGUCGCACCACUUGAACCCUAUCGGUAGAAUUUCUAUGCACAAAGUGCAAAUUAAUGACCGAUCUGAAGAAUUAUAAUGCACAGUUUUUGGUGUCUGUUACCAGAACAGUCUUUGUUCUGGCAUGCUUGUUCCAUUGUAUUUUCACUCUGGAACUUAUUUGUUCCUUCUCCAGCAUACUUUGCGCUUGUAUACGUGAUUGAUUAAUUCAAAUCAGACAUUCAGCAAACAUCUUUUCAUAAUCCAUGUCCAAUACAACUAUAGGAUUUCAUUCUCAGCAUUUUAUAUGAUGUUAAGGUAUCUACUACGCUUAUCACGAUAAUAAUUCAAUAUUCCAACCCUGGAGGUAAUGAGUAUGGUUUUUUGGAAGCAGAGAUAUUUCCCUCUGCUGCUGGCUCUAUCUGUACUGAUGGCCUUUAGGCAUCUCGUUGGUGCAGGCUUGCAAGCAUGUAUAUCCGAGUGAAGCGCAACAAGAGUACCUACUUCAUUCAAUGUGAACCAACAGAGACAACUUUGAGCAUCAAACAGAAGUUGCAUUUGCUAAUAGAUCAGCCUCCUAGUAAUCAGCAGUUGGUCUUGUUGGCUAACAAUGAUGUGCUGGAAGACUCAAAGACAUUGGCGGACCAAAAGGUGCCAUAUAUUUAGCUGUUUCUGUACUCAUUCUUCUAAAUGAUUUCAUUUCACCCGUUCAGUCUCUACAGCCUAUGCACAAUCUCAUAGAAACAUCUGUCAAGUUAAGGCAGCUUGGUAAUGCAGAUAGUUAAUUUGUGUAGUCACAAUACAGUUUAGGGGCUGUUUGGAUACGAGGUGCUAAACUUUAACAGUGUCACAUCGGAUGUUCGGAUGCUAAUUAGGAGAACUAAACAUGAGCUAAUUAUAAAACUAAUUGCAGAACCCUGUGCUAAUUCGCGAGACGAAUCUAUUAAGCCUAAUUAAUCCAUCAUUAGCAAAUGGUUACUGUAGCACCACAUUGUCAAAUCAUGGACUAAUUAGGCUUAAUAGAUUCGUCUCGCGAAUUACACUCCAUUUGUGCAAUUAAUUUUGUAAUUAGCCUAUGUUUAAUACUCCUAAUUAGCAUCCAAACAUCCGAUGUGACAGGUGUUAAACUUUAAUAAGGGGUAUCCAAACACCCCCUUAAUUUGUGUAGCCUUAGCAUAUUAAGUUUCUCUGAAGAUUAAACCCACAACUUGUUUAAUUCAGAUUCCAGUUGCGUGACAUUUUCUAUUCGUACUUGUUCAGGUGGAAAAUGAUUCCGUUGUUGCAUUGGCACUGAGAAAAGGUAUACUGCUGACUUAUUAUUAAUAAUGAUUUUGUCUAUUUCCCCCCUUAUCUUUCAGGUAGGGCUUUCAGCUUUGCGUUCUUUACUUUUCUUUUCUUUUCUCCGCUUGUUAUGCUUACUCUUAGCAUACCAUUCUAUGGCUAUGAUUAUUGUCCACCAACUGCUUAUUUUGUAGAAGUUGCCUUUAUUAUAUAUUAGGUCAUCAUUCGCUAAUCAUCCUUUAUCUGUUUUCUGGACUGCGUGUUCAACUUACCGAAUCAUAUUAUUGCUGAGGCUAGGCUUUCCCUAGCAGCAACUUGCGCUUUUCAUAGAUUAAAAAAAAAUCAAUAAGAACCUAUCAUCACAAAGUUAUUUAUUGUAGCAGGUUGCCCCUAGUCUAAAUAAAGUGCCUACUGAUGCUAGUCAUUUUCUAGUAUCUCAACCGACGAAAUGCAUCUUCUUGCUUUACUCGUUUGCAAACGGGUUCCCCUUCCGUAGCUAUUGCAUUUUCAAUCAGACAAGUCCUGACUGUAAUAUCUGUUCUUUCACCAGAUGAUGAUGAUUUUGAGGAAGUUUUCAUCGCCAGGCCAGAGGAUUUCAUGUCAUCAUCGUGAUGAAGAUCAGUUCAUCAUAUCUACAGGGGGACCAGGGUGCUUUCUCCGAGCGGAUCCUGCUGCUUGCUCUAUGUUGGUCCCUCUAGGAUGUGGGAUGUAGCUCAGUUGUCCCUCUGGGAAGAAAGAUAAAACGUUAUAAAGAUCCCAUACAACCAUCGCGGAUGGCAUUAAGCUUUGAUUUUGACGCACCAACUGAUUCCGUGCACUCGUACCUAAUUGUGUCAGUCCUGAUGUUGGGAUCAAACACACCUAAUUGUCCUUUUGUACCAGCUCUGGCAUGUGAGAUCCAUCUGUGCCCCCAUCACCUAAUACGCUUGCUGUUGCUGCUGGUCUUUCUGCUUGCCCGUUGCUUUGAUUCAACUACGUUGUCGGUCACAUUACUGAAAACGCAUUAGGUUGCUAGCCAUCGGUUCUUAUUGAAGCUUGGAUGAUUUCAUCUGGACUGACGUCAUGUUUUUAAUUCAGCAAAGUUUUAGCCUGCUCUAGUACACCAUUGUAGCAGGCUUCGAAUUGGACGUCAAGUGAAAAUUUGCGAAUGCGGUCCAGCGGGAUAAAUUAUUUUAAACAAUUCAAAUUCAGAAGUCAAAGCACCAAGCAUUUCCUUGUUAGAAAGGUAGCAGAGACGGCAUUCGGUAGCUUGGGAGAGUUGGGUUUGGUGGCGGCAACUUUUUGAACGACGGCGUGGACAAGGAUUUUGUUCACAUAUCAGGUUUUGUGUGACAGACGAAGGAAAGGAGAAGAGUAAAGUGCAUUUUCAUCCCACAACAUUCUUGCGCGAUUUGCCACUCUAAUUUGGUUGCAGUUAUCAUCAACUAAUAACCCGUGAGGCCACCUUGAGUCAAUAACCGUAGGCUAGGAUGUCAAACAAAACAAUAUAUUGAUAAUUCAAGAGGGUGGCAGAUUGCUAAAUACCACCUCAUGCAUCCUAAAUUACCAUUUAUUUUGAUUUUUAUACAUAUAUAGCUUUUACUACGUAUCUAAAUACAGUAUAUAUUUAGACAAAGCAAAAAUGAACAUUAAUUUGGGAUGGAGGGAGUACUAAUAAAACAAUAAUGGGAAUGAUGUAACCCAUCUUUUAACAAACAACAAAACUGAAGGUAAAUUGGAGUAAAGAACGGAGUAAUUGCAGCAAUUGCCCAUGUAACUAGAAAAAGGAAAAAAAAAAGAACAGCAUUUGAUGGCUUCAACUGGAGGAAAUUACCGGUCUUUUGACCAAGUGCAGCGAACGCUCCGGCUCAUUCAUAGCCUUUGGUUUGGCGCUUUCGGAGUUUAAAGCGGCCUUGCUUAGGCACUAAUCCUUCCACGGCCGCGUUUCAAACCAUUUUAAAAAAGUCGAAGCACGGCGUCGUGUCUGAUCCUCUUGUUUGGUUCUUGUUCGCGAGACCAAGCGAUGCUAGGCAAAGUCGAACGAAAGAGAUCGCGAGGACGAGGAGGAAAUCUGCGUUGGCGCUGACGAACCAACCAGGUGACGACCCUUCUUCUCCGCCUCCCUCCGCGUGUUAGGUUGCUCACGCGAUUUCGCUGCGGUUACAGCAGCUGCUUCUCUCUCUAGCCGCCGGCGACUGCUUCUGCGGGUGUCCAACGCGGCAAAGCCUACUCGGUUCGGCCAGCUGCGUGUGAUCCCCUCGCGCCCGAAUCUCUUAGGUUGGCUUUGGCGGCUGAGGUUUUGGGGGAGUUCUUUGCUUCAUAGAGGCGUGUCAGCAGAGCUGAAUCUCACCUCGAGUUUUAGUUAGCCGUACGUCUUCGGAUCUUUCCUUUUCCUCAUCUCAUCUGGUGGGAUUCAUCUCCAUUUUGGAGUUCAUUCAAAUCCCACCUGGGAUUACGUCGGCGCGGCUGCCGUGGGAUUCUCGGUGUCGCGAGUUUUGGUGAGAGAUUCUUCCAGCAUUUGGUGGAGCUUUCAAGUUUCAUCUGCUCUUCUUCUUCUUCUCCAUUAUUGUACCAAAUCCUAUUCGAGGAUUCCGUUUAAUCUAUUCUCUCAGCCUUGGGCCUCUUUGUACCCAUCCAAUUUGUUACUUGAAGCAGAUUUGCGAUUAUCACGUCAUGCAUUGUGGAGCAUGUUCCUUCUUUUAUGAGCACCUAGCCGACUGUAACAAUCUACAUUUGAUUUACCAGGAUGCACUGUGAUUCUUUCGCACAUGGUGAGCUUCUGAUGUCAAUUAGGAUUAAGCAUGUUUCUCUGCUGCGCUCAAGUUGGAGAACAAGAAGCCAGCUUCGACAGUAGUUAUCUGUCGCAAGCAGACAAUGGUAUAAGCCAGUGCUUCUGGACCCUGGUUAUUUUGUCUCCAGUACUUUCUGGUACCUAUGCCUGAUCAUUCGCAUCGUGUUUGAGCUUGCAGCACCCAUUUUCACUUAAGAGUUCGAAGGGAGCACCAAUUCUGCCGCGACCGGUCUUUGUUUUCUUCGUUGCCUUAUUUGGAUUCUAUGUAUGCUACCUCUCCUUCAAUCAGAUAACACUGGAGAAUAAAAGGGAAGGGAAUAGUGGAGAAGAACAAAGGGCAAAUAUUUGCAGAAAGCCUCAUGUGCCAUAUGAGGAGCUCCGUUACACGCACUUUCCAAAACCUAGGAGUUAUAGCAGGUAACAUCGCUGUGACAGUGAGGAUAGAUAGAAUCUCUUUGUAGUCGUGGAUUAUGUAGUAUAAUUUGUGAGCGAUGUUGAUACUGUUUUACAUUCUUCUGCAGGGGGGAAUGCUCAUGUACUCCUGUUCGAUUCUUUGUAAUUGUGUCUAUGCAAAGAUCCGGAAGUGGAUGGUUUGAGACAUUGCUAAAUAGUCAUCCUAACAUUAGUUCCAACGGCGAAAUCUUUAACAGAGUGGAUAGAAGAGAAAAUAUCUCAUCUAUCCUACAAACACUUGACAAACUGUAUAAUUUGGACUGGCUCACCAGUGCAGCGAAGAAUGAGUGCACAGCUGCAUUUGGACUGAAAUGGAUGCAUAAUCAGGUACUUUGAUAUUGGGUUUUUUAUGGUCCUUCUGAACAUUUAGAAGGUUAGUUUGUAUUUGAUAGUUAAGCUUCUGAACUUUCUUUUUUUCUAAAGAAAAGAAACAGCAUACCAUGAGGUUAUUCCAGUGGCAACUAACAUUGUAAUAUAAACUACAGUUCCUGUGGGUGAAGUAUGGGGAAACCUUUUUACAUGAUCUAUUUUCCUUGAAAAAGUUUGAAUGCUGUUAGAAUUAUAGAUAGAAUUCAACUGUGCCAUACUGCAAUAAGGAUGCUUUUACUAAAGCUAAGGGACCAACUGCCAACUGCUCACAUGCCUGCUGUUCUCAAAACUCUAGUCUGUACCAAGCAUUCACCGUUCAAGCUUGCUAACUUGUAAAAAUGAUAAUCCAUGUUGAUGCUUGUUCUGCCCAUUUUAUCAGGAUGAGUGGAGUUAUACUCAUGCCUACCGGAUGUUAAAUAUGUGCUUGGCAAUAACUUCCAACAUUGUGUUUUUCUAGGGAAUUUUGGAAAAUCAUGAUGAUAUAGUUAGUUAUUUGAACAAGAAGGGUGUCUCUGUAAUAUUUCUGUUCAGGAGAAACACAUUACGCAGGGUUAUAUCUGUGCUGGCCAACGACUAUGACAAAGAUGCUAAGCAGUUGAAUGGAACUCACAAAUCUCAUGUUCACUCAAAAGAAGAGGUAUCUUUGAUGCACAAACAGUUUCAAAUAGUUUACUGACUUAGCUUUGUUCUUUUGGGUCCCUUGUAUCCUUUUGAGCAUAUUGCUGUCCGUAGCACAUUUUACAUGAGAUGUGGCUUAGUCCAUAUAUCAUUUAUUUUAGAACAAAUUCGUGAUUUUGAUUAUGGGAAAAGAGAACAUUAAAUCUGAACCGACAUUGUACCAUCAACUUACCUGAUUCAUUUUGAGCAGGCUGAGAUAUUAGCAAAAUUCAAACCAGAGCUGGAUACAUCGACUCUGAUCACAAAUAUCAGAAACAUUGAGAAGGCCAUCAGAGAUUGCUUGGAUCACUUCAAGAGUACACGGCACAUGAUGCUCUAUUACGAGGAUAUAAUCGGCAAUAGCAAUGUAACCUAACUCAUUUAAAUGCCCUAAUGCAGGACCAACAAAUUCUCAGGUUAUCUGACAUUAUCUUUCUUCACGCAGGCACUUUCCCAGGUGCAGGAGUUUCUGAGAGUUCCGGUGAGGCCCCUGAUGAGCAGGCAGGUGAAAAUUCACACGAGACCACUGCCAGACCUCGUCAAGAACUGGGAGGACGUGAGCAGCAAACUGAACGGCACAGAGUUUGCUCACUUCCUUGAUGGUUCAGAUUACGUCAAGUGAGAGAUACAUAUGCGAGCAGACUGGUUAUUCACAUUUGGAGUUGUAGUUGCAACAUGCUUAGGAUUCUUUUGUACAGAUGAAUUUGUAAAGAGCAGGGAAUAAAGAUUAAAGAUGACGAUCACAUAUGCUGAUGGAAUUGUACAAAAUUUUCCUGGUUUUCCCUUUGUUCUGUAGCGUUACGAUGACCACUAAGAUUGUUCAGAAUGUAGCUUAAAAUAGCUGCAUUUGAUUAUGGCAGUUUUCUAUACCUCCCAUAGACCACAUUAUAUUCAAUGCUUUGAAUGAAGACACGGGGCACGGAAAAUGGAAGAUUCAAAUUUACACCUCUUAAUUUUGAGUUAGGAGCUCAAGAUUGUAAGAUUUUUGGUACCUGUUCCUUUCAUGAAAGGCCAAACAAAGCCCAAAACUACACGAAAAAUGACCACAAGGAUCUACACUAAUCAACUUCGGUAAAUUCUUGUACAAGGACAAAAUGCUGCUCAAAACAUGUUUACAUGUAACAAGUACAACAUCACUGAGCUCAAGCAAACACAAUGGUGCACAAAUGAGUGCUUCCAUCUUAGCAGUGGAAGACUAUUGACGCCGUCUCUUUAUCCUCUCAAGGGCACCCAGCUGCUCAUUCUCUUGGGCACCAGAGCUUUCCUCCUGGCUCUCAGCGGCUCUCUUGCCGAGCUCGCCAAACACAGCAGCUGGAACACUCUUCUCUGCAAUUUGUACAUCCGGCUCCUCGUCGUCGCUCUCAUCGGGCAGCUCAAUAUCCUCAUUGUUACCAGCUUGUUGCCUGCUGCUCUCAGCCUGCGCCUCUACUCCAGCACUGACAAAGCUCAUCAUCCUGUUAGCGGAGGCUGGGGCAGUGCUUUGCGCUGCAGAAGGUGCUGUGGAUGGUCCAGGAGCUAGUUGCCUUUCCAAGGCUGCCAUCUCGUCCUCAGGAACGCCAGCACGCUUCAGAGUGUCGACUGCCUCAUCCAGGUUUAGCCUCUGAUCCCUCUGCAUCAAGUACUCCGGUAGUAUGAAAUGUGUCUGCACAACAUAAGUCAGUAUGAAUUUGUGAUACAAGGCAAGGGUAUGUGUUCAUGUCAGACUGCAGAUUAAAUUGAUUGGUGUGACAUACCUGACUGCGACUAGCAGCCACUGUACGUUUGAUACGAAGCAUCUCCCUAAAAGUGUCUUCGUUACCAUGCUGGAUCUCAAAGUCAUUCCACUUCUUCCAAAAGUCAGAAUUGUUUGGAUCAGCAUAGUUGGAUGCGUGCACAUAGAUAGCACGCGAGCGGUCAAUUUCUCCAAGGCUUCUUUCUAGCUCAGCAAAUUUCAUGCACAUUGUCAGAACAUCUCUGUCUGGGAGCCCAGAUUCAAUUGCUUGCUGCAAACGUGACAACAAAGAUAGCAGAGCAAAGUUAGCAUCAAAACCAAAGUUAGCAUCAAAACUAUCUGUAAACCAGUGAAACAUUUGAAAAUACUGAAGACACAACCAUGCUAAAUCUGGAAUGUAGAGUUUACAACAAAAUAGGCAUCCGGAAUUCUAGAUUUUUUUCCUAGGCAGAUGGGUAAGAGCGAGUAUGGAAGAACCAUGUAUACUAAAUCCAAGCAGUUACUAAUUAGUAGAUUCACUUGCCGAAAUGUUGUAGCAAAACUAGAUUCGAUACUGCCAGAGUGCAAUUCUAUAAAAAAAAACUACAAGACAACAAUCAAAAGCAGAAGGCAGGAUUCCUAGACUGAGCAUAGAAGAAACAUUUAUAUUAGUUUAUCCAGGUACUAAGCAAUAAAAACCAGCAUUAACAAGAUUAGAUCUAUACCAAUUUCUUUCAUACACUACAAAUCACGCCUUGAAACAAAACUAGAUUUCAAAACAAGAAUAUAAUACAGAAAGUGUAGCAAAAAACAAUAAGAUACCAAUCACAAGCCGAAGCCAAAGAAGGAUAGUGUGUUACCUCGUAUAUUUGUCUUGUCCUUGGAACGCCGAACAGCUCAGCAGCACGUGCUAUAUAGAUUUCAUACAUGGCCAUUUUUUCACUGUUAGGAACAGCCCUUACAGCUUCAUCAUAAACAUUCAUAGCACGUUUUGCAAGACCAUAGUCUUCCUCCAGUUUGGCCCAUUGUAAAUAUAGGGGCUUCUUUUCAUCUGGAGGAGCCUGAUCAAAAGAAGCAAAGUGUAAGUACAGGAGCAAGAUUUCAUCUAAAAAAAGUACAGGAGCAAGAUAUUGGAAGUAACUUUCUAAAGAAAUUAAUACUGAAAGCAGGAAAAUAAAAGGUACCAGUGUCUAAACAAGCCAAUCAAGCACAAAGAAUAAUAUGACAUAAAAUCAACAGGCAGCGAGGGUCACAUGGUAAGAGGAGAAUCACAAAAACAAGUGCAGUUUGCAAUUAAAGAAACUUCCCAUGGUGCUAAAAUUGCAUUAACAAUCAAGUAUUUUUCAUGGCAUGCGAAAAUGAUGAAUUUGAGUAGCAUAUAACCACAAAAACCUUUUAGGCUUAGGCAAGAAUGCAUGCAACAAGGCAUGGGAGUAACUUUACAUACCUGUUGGACAGCUUCAUGGAAAAGCUCUCUUGCUCGUUCUAACUUGCUUCUCUUGUAUCUCUGUACAAACUUUGUAAGGUAGGUCACCCAGAUGGCCUUAACAUGGGGAUACUUGAAUAUUUUCACGCCCCUUUCAUACACUUUAAAUGCAUCUUCAAAAUACCUGUGCUCCUGUUGGCAAGAGAAACAGUAAAACAAACAUAAUAUUAGCAAAAAUAUAUUUGAACUUCAGACAUGUAGACUUUGGACAAAGAUCUUACCUCAAGAAGAUAUGCAUAAUUGAGUAUUAUCUGAGGAGUAGCAAUUCGUAAAUCCAAUAUUCUCUCAUAAACGGCACGGGUAGAGUCCAAGGUUCCAAGGCUCUCCUCCAGAUCAACGUAAAAGCUCCACAGUUUCAAAGAUUUGUGUACUUUCAUUUGGACAGGUUCGUUCCCCUCAGCAGCAGCUGCAUGAAUCAUAUAGUUAGCAAGAAUGAUAUGUAAAAUACACAGGAAAAUGGGAGAUUAACACAAUCAAACAGAAUAAAUAUACCUCGCCGUUUAACCUCGACAGAGGGCUCUGCUGUUGCUUGCCUCAUCAGCUCAAUAGCCUUGUCAAAAUUGCUGUGUCGCAGCUCCAUUUCCGCCCAUUCACACCAGAUACUGGCUAAGUGGUCAACUGCCUUAUAAUUCACUUGAGUAGCCCGUUUGAAGAUAUCUUCAGCACUAUCUAGACGACUGUGUUUCUCAUACAUCUUUGCAAAUGCUACCCAUAGAGUAUGGGGUUUCCCAACUGCUUUCAUUGGGUCCACGGUUUUCACGGCCUCAACAUAGGUCGCUACUUGCCUUGCAGGAUCCUUCUCAAAAAGUUUCACCCUCCUGCAAAUAUUAUUGCAUUGUUAGCCAAUUACAUCAAGCUAGAGAACACCAAAGGACAAUGUUCAUUAAUCAUCAGUAUGCUCAGAAUAGAGAACAUCUGGACACUACAUGUUCGCAUCACACAAUAUCACUUCUUUAAAGGUUUGCAAUCACUAAAGAAUCACUAACUUGCCCAACUAUAGAGAAACUGCAUAAGUACUUACAACUAUGUGCUAGGAUAUCAAAUUAACACACAAAUACCUACCAUAGUUUGUUUUGGAAAGGGGCAAAACAUUGUUGCCAGUUGCAAUGAUAGUAACUCUGGGGAUAAUGUAACUGGUUUCUCAAGAAUUUUACAACUAAAAUUGAUGGCACUAACCUACAAUCUAGAAUAUCGAUAACCUAUCUUGUCCAAAUUUCUCACAAAGAUCUACUGGAAAUGAUGAAAGCAGGACGCAUUUGAAGGGCAACAUGAGGUGAAUAACCCCUCAGGCAUAUUAUGGGUGACUAGCUUAAUCUGCACACAUCCAAUUAACUAGUCUGCAUAGAAAACACAGUUAAUGAAAUUGAGGUGCUACAAAUCUCACCUGUGCCACUCCUCCACGUUGUGUGGGUUCUGUCGCAACAGCACACUGCUAAGAAGCUCUGGUCUGCGAUCCAACAGCCGCUCAAACCUUGCCAUCCUCAAAUCAGUAUCGUCCUCAUCGUUCAACCAGAAUUCCUCGAGGAAUUUCUUCGAUAGUUUAUCCAUCCCAUUUUUCCUGCUCCCUCCCUCAUCCUCAUCCUCAGCCCCUUCUUCCUCGGCAGCCUCCAGCUUUGCUGCAAGCAUACUCUGCUCAAACUGUGUAUAUGCCUCAAACACCACGCUGAACUCCUUCACGGUAACAACCGAUGAAACACCCUCCUCAAAUACAUCUCUAGCUUUUUCGAAAAGGCCUCUCCUGACAUAGUAAUCAGCCAGCGAGGUCCAAAGCUUGCCAACCUCGUCUGUGAACUUCCGAAUCCCACCCCGCAGGAUGGCGUCCACCUUGAGGCCAGCAACCUCAUCAGCAUGCUUGGUGAGGAUCUCGCAGAGCUCGAGCCAGAGCUGGUGCCUGGUCUUCCCCUUGACAGAGCGGAAGCCAUCAUCAUUGAGCACGGAAGCCAGUCGGUCAGCAGCCUCUUGCCAGCGGUUUGCAGUUAUGAGGAAAUUGAUGAAAUCCUCUGCGUGGGAGGGGUCGAACUGGAGGUAGCGGCGGAACACCCGGAGCGACGUCUCGACCGGGCAGGCCGGGAGCGACGCGAGGCGCAGGUACAGCGGCCAGAUGCGGUCGUGCUGCGUCACCGGCAGCGCGCGCAGGGCGCGGUCGAAGGCGCGGCGCGAGCGCGUGAGCAGGCGCUGGUCGAGGAGCGACGUGAGGUAGAGGACCCAGAUGCGCGGCAUCUUGUGCAUCGUCGCCAGCGCACGCUCGAAGGUGUUGUUGAGCGACGAGUAGGCCGGGUGGUCGAUGGGGUGGGGGCGCGCGUGGUCGAGGCGCUCGCGGAGGUAGGCGUGCCAGAGCUUGUAGCUCCCCGGGAGCGCCUUGAGCGCGCGCUCGUAGAUGACGGCGCGCUUGGAGAACGGCGCGGCGGCGCGCGCGACGAGGUAGCGCCACCACCCCUUGAGCUUGAACGGCUCCCGGAGGAUCUCCUCCUCGUAGGGCAAGUCGUCCUCGGACGGGUACAGCUCCGGCGAGAUUCCGACGGCCGGGGUGGCCGCGGCCUUUGCCGCCGCCGACGCCGACGCCACAGCCACCGGACCCGCCGCCGACGGCAUCCUCGCGCCGGGAUUGGGCUCGCUAGGGUUUACGAUUCCGCCGCGUUACGGUGGGGAGAGUUUCAGUGGCGAGGCGUAUCAGUCCGGGGGAGACGGGCGAGGCGGGCGGGUCCCCGGGUGUGGAUUCGCACAAUGCCGACGCGGGCUCGGCGUUUUUUGAUGGGCCGUGGGCGCGGGGUUGGAUCCGUUUCGGGCCCGGGGUGGAAACAGUGACGGCGGCGGUGUGGGAUGCCUUUUUUGGCAGCGGGCUGAGUUUUGAACGGUCGGUCAGAGCUGAUUGAUGGCAAAGGCAAACAUCUUUUCAAAAAAAUUUCUAUACAUACACUGUGACCACUUCAGUUGCUAUACUCUCCCCCCCCCCCUUCCCAAUAUUUUUUCUUCGUACACCUGAAAAACUCCAUGUAAAACAGCAUUUUGGCUUGCGAAAAAGCCCCAGUGAAAAUCAGAUGGGGACGCCCCCCCAUCUAAAAAAAACUUCAGUUGUGAUUUUGUAAAACUAAGGAUGAUUUUAGAAAAUUUUAUUGGCAACGUGGACCCCGGGCAGCACCUGACCUAAUCGUGCUUUCAUAGUGGUAACUCAAAAACUUAUAAAAUUUUGAACUAAUCCUUUUUUAAGCCUGCUCUAAGCUAAAUUUUUAGCGAUCCCAUGGACCAAACACACCCUUACUAUGUAAGGUCAACGGCUACAUACUUGAUCGUCUCUUGCACCAACCCUACUAUAAAAACGUGAGCAAGAUACAGAACGUGACAAAUUCCAAGUCAGAAAAUGUUCCGAGGCUCCAUCAUCAUGAAUUCAUGACCAUGGAUGUAAAGAAGCGGACCGGUUAAAUCAACAGUUCAUUCAGAUGAUGACGAGAUUGCUCAACCUAAUCAGACUAUGCUCAUAGAAUUUUGACAUUUCCCAGUACGCCGUGUCCUUUUUCUUUCAUUCUCAUUACUCUAUCAAUUUAUAUUUAAUUUGUGGAUGAUCAUAUAACAUUCGAUAAUCUCAUAUAUAAAAAAGUGUAGACAAACUAGAGUUUUGGCUGCGAAAAACUCCAUGUAAAACUCCAUGUAAAACAGCAUUUUUGCUGCGAAAAAGCCCCAAUGAAAAUCAGGUUGGGACCACCCCCUAAAAACUUCAGUUGUGAUUUUUGCGGAACUAAAAAUGAUUUUAGAAAUUUUCAUUGGCAUCGUGGACCCCGGGCAGCACCUAGCGAUGAUGCAAUGGAUCAUGACCUAAUCGUGCUUUCACAAUCGUAACUCAAAAACUUAUAAAAUUUUGAACCAAUCCUUUUUUAAGCUCGCUUUAAGCUAAUUUUUUAGCGAUCCCAUGGACCAAACACACCCUUACAUAGUAAGGUUAACGGCUAGAUACUUGAUCGUCUCUUGCACCAACCCUACUAUAAAAACGUGAGCAAGAUACAGAACGUGACAAAUUCCAAGUCAGAAAAUGUUCUGGGGCUCCAUCAUCAUGAAUUCGUGACCAUGGAUGUAAAGAAGCAGACCGGUUAAACCAACAGUUCAUUCAGAUGAUGACGAGAUUGCUUGACAUAAUCAGACUAUGCUCGUAGAAUUUGACAUUUCCCAGUUUCUUUCAUUCUCAUUACUCUAUCCAUUUUAUAUUUAAUUUAUGGAUGAUCAUAUAACAUUCGAUGAUCUCGUAUGUAAAAAAGUGUAGACAAACUAGAGUUUUGUGCUCUAUCUACUCGGUGUAGUUAUAACCCAGUACCGGUAGUAUCGAAAUUUAAUUUAACAUGUGUAAGAAUUUGUAACUUUAUUGAUCUGGUGAUAAAAUUUGAAAAGAAACAAUUUGAUUGGAACCGACGUACGUGCGUAAAUAUGAGUGGAUCAAUCAAAAUAUCUAAAUUUGAUACCGAGAAAAAUGGAACAAUCAAAGUUGGUGUCCAAGAUUUCUUUUCGAGAUUUCUCUUUUUUGCUCGUCACAGGGAGGCAUAGACAGUUUCAUCCAAAAAAAAAAAAAUCCACAGCCACAGACCUGGGUGGACCGCAGGAUCCAUGAUGGACGGCUGGUAGCGCCUCCCUGACUAACAACUGCUGCCAAGUCAGUCAGUCACGCACUCCUCCGGUCCACCCCCUUCCCCUUGUUUGUUUCAGUUUCAGAUCUCGACUCGACCAGCAGUAGUCGCCGGCGAGGGGUAAGGGCGGACGGACCACCGGACGCGAUGCCGCCGUCCCUCCAAACCCUGACCACCCCCACCCUCCUCCUCCUUCUCCUCACCGCGACUGCCGUUUCAUGCUCUGCCUUGCCGCCGGAGGACGGCAUCCGGAUCCUCUCUGCCGAGAAAAGGGUAUGCUUCUUUUCCUUCUUGCCGGUGGAUAUCCUCUUUUCCCCUUCCUCAAAUCUGGCAUGCCGGUUGCUUGCUUGUGAAGCGGAUCACUAGUACUGCUGUCCCUUUUAUUAGCUUUCGAGAUUACGCAAACCUGGAUGCUUUUCGUCUUCAUCUUGAGUAGAUAUGCAUAGUUACAAUUAUCGAUCGAAAUCCUGCGCUGUAACGAUCCGAUUGACUUAGAUCGGGGGAAGCUGUAAUUAUCGCUGUAAUUCAGGGUUUAAGAGAUAGAGGUCGAUUCCCUGCUAAAACCCUUAUAUCCGUGGCAAAUCUCUUCCUCUCAAUUCAUCAUGCUAUUUUUUAUUCUGAUAUACAAAUUCCAAUUGCCUGCAGAUCGACCUCACUGGUUCCAUUGUCAAAGUCUAUCUAACACUGAAGGUAAUACCUUAAUGGUCCUUUUCCUGAAUUGCCAGUUAGUGAUUCUCCUUCGUUUAUACUCACAGCACAUCAUUACCUUCCUUCCAGGUCGAGAAUGCUCCCGCUGCCUCUGAUGCAUCUCAAGUUCUUAUCGCCUUCACGCCCACAGAGGCUCAACAUCUCGCUAUUGUCAAGGCCACAAGAGCAGAGGGGAAGCGCAAGAAGAAGACAUAUGCGCCCCUCUCGGUUGAAGCCUCUGAUCUUGCCACCACCGCCCUGAAUGGCGCUCGCCUCUACUCUGUUCUGCUGGGCGCUCCUCUGAAACCUGGCGAGGCAACCACUAUCGAAGUGUUAUAUGUGCUGACACACUCUUUAGAGCCCUUUCCUGCUGAGAUUAGCCAGUCAGAGUCCCAGCUGGUUUACUUCCGUGACAGUGCGGUGCUUCUCUCGCCCUACCAUGUUCUGGAGCAGGUUACCUACAUCAAGACGCCGAGCAAUAGGAUUGAGUCCUUCACGAGGGUCGAUCCUACCAGUCGUGCUGGUACUGAAGUGAAAUAUGGCACAUAUAAAAACCAGGCGCCAAACUCAUAUUUGCCAAUCCUUGUGCACUAUGAGAAUAACCGUCCUUUUGCUGUUGUUGAGGAGCUUGUACGCAAGGUGGAGAUUUCUCAUUGGGGAAAUGUCCAAAUCACUGAACAUUAUAAACUGAAGCAUGGUGGCGCUCGGCACAAAGGAGUCUUUUCAAGGUUAUAUUCUUUACACCUUAAUUUCUUCAGCUUUUAUGGUUCUAAAAAAAGGCCUCGGCACGAAACAAAUGUGACUACAAAAUUCUUAGAUGUGAAAAGUGCUUUUGGCUGUUAGAUUGGCAUGUCGGUGAGAACCAUUUCAAUUUUUGAGUUUGGGAUGCUUACCCUUACACCAUCUUGUCAAAUGACCUAUCUGAUCAUUGUCCACUUCUGCCAACAAUAUAGGUGUAGUAAUGACAAAAUAAAAUAAUAUAUGGGCUGGUACCCUCGGCACUGCUUUGCUAGGUCUAUGUUUUUGUUAGUUAAUGAUAGUUAAUUUAGUAUGGACAUGAAUAUUUGAACCUGUAUGAAGUUAGGUAUAAGCAACUCAUUAGAUCAACUUAGUUAAAUGCUUCAUGGUUACUCAUUUAGGACUUUCUUGCUAGGCUUGAGUACCAGUCUAGGCCAUCUAUCAGUGGAGCGUCAUCAUUCAAGAAUCUUCUUGCAAGGCUGCCUCCACGGGUUCAUUCCGUUUACUAUCGUGAUGAGAUUGGUAACAUCUCCACAUCUCAUCUGCGCAUCGGUUCCCUCAAGGUACAGGAUAUUUUUGCACAAGCAUAGGAUUUCAAUCAAUUGCUAUUCUAGUUGGUAGCAUAUCUUGUGAAAAUCAGUGUUGGAAACUUGAAAAUCCUUCAAAAAUCAUAUCUAGAAGUUUUUGAAAAUCUUGAAACUGUACCUUCUAUAGAUGAUGUUAUCAUAUGAUGCCAUGCUAAAUUUUAGGUCUAAACCCCUUUGUGAGAUACAAAAAUCACAAAUGUCAACCACAUAAGCACAAAAGGUGCAUUUUGUCCUUCUAAACCAUGGAUUUAUCAUUUUUGCAUGUGGCUGGCAUUUAUGAUAUUUGCAUCUCUCCAUUGUGGAGUUUGAGCUUGAAAUUUUCUAUGUCAUCAAAUUGUACCCUUAUUUAUAGAUGGUGAGUUUUUCAAUAUUUUUGAAAACUUCUAGAGUUUUAAACACUUAGCCAGUUUUCACCGGAUAUGCUCCCAUUCUAGUUAGUAGAGUCAAAGAUAUCCUUUAUUUUACUUCAAUGUAAAAUUGUUUACUAAAGCUUUUUUUUGUAAUUCAGUCGGAACUAGAAAUUGAGCCCAGAUAUCCAUUAUUUGGUGGCUGGCACUGCACAUUCACCAUUGGCUAUGGGCUGCCAUUGGAAGAUUUUCUCUUUGAGUCAGAAGAUGGUCGGCGUUACAUCAACCUUACUUUUGGUUGCCCUCUAUUGGAUACUGUGGUUGACGAUCUUACAAUUAAAGUAAGUAUUUAUUUGCCCUCGAUAGGCUACUGUGGUUGACAAUCUUACGUUUAAAUUAAGUCUGCUCAAGGUCUAUAUUUUCUGAUGAAGCACCUUUCGUACUAAUGGUACACGUGGCCUAAUUAAGAAACACAUAUUGGUAGCAUCUGCACAUGCUAGUGUAAAUGCAAUCUCUGGCAUCAACCUUUUCCUUUUAUUUUCUAGGUUGAUCACCAUGUUCCUUGCAUAGUUCAGCUUUUUAUCUGAGACUAGGUAAACAAUAAAUGUGAUUCUUGAGAAAUAGACCAGACUGCUGCCUGUUUGAAGGAGUGUAGAACUGCAGAUGAAAUAUAGAGAGUUGUUCUUCCUGCUAUUCACAUUUAUAGCAGAACCUUCUCAAACCGUUUAAUGUCGCAGGUUGUCCUUCCUGAAGGAUCAAAAAAUCCACAGCCUGUAGUUCCUUUUGUGACAGAGAAACAUCUUGAGGUAAUCCCAUCUUUCCUUCCUAACAUUAAGCAUGUCUCCUCCCCUUAUAUCAGAAUUUUACAUUUUUGGAUCUAAACUGGUGGCAUACACCUAUGAAUUUAGAAGAACUACGAUUGAUAGAUAAAGUUUAAUCUCAGCUGAACCAUUGCAAGUUUACGCUUUUAUUGUUCAGUGGUAUCAGUUAACUUCUGGUAGGGCUGUGGCAACAUGUGCGUCCUGAUUUAGUUUCAAUCAUGAGCUGUGCAUAUUUCCCCUGAGUCCUAGAACUUUGUAUUUCACUAUGCCAGCUUGUAUUUUUCCAUCUAUUUUGCAAAAGAAGUGUGCUCUGAGCAUCUAUUUUGCAAAUGGAACAGUUCCUUUCUCAAGUUUUGGUAAUGAAAGAUUAUCCUGUGAUUAUGACACUAGCUACUGAUGCAGACUAGUUAUUCAUACCUUGAUGUUGUUGGAAGGACAACGGUGGUACUGAAAAAGAAAAAUGUUGUAGGAGAGCACAACGUUCCUUUCCAGGUACUUGUAACAAUCCGAUGAAGCCUUGUUAGUUACUACCACACCUUCGAACCACACAUCUUUUGUUUCUAAUCUGUGGAACAUUCUGGCACUUUUAGGUGUACUAUGAGUUCAAUCCGAUCUUCAUGCUGGCGGAGCCGUUGAUGCUAGUAUCUGCAGUGUUGCUGUUCUUUGUCGCCUGCAUUGCCUAUCUUCACAUGGAUCUUUCCAUCGGAAAAUCAUCAUAGGCCUCCAUUCACAGUAUUUUUGAAUUUUUGAACCACUUGUUCUACUAACUGCGGAUUGAUGAAUCAUUGGCACAUUAGUUGUACUAUGUACCCUUCUCAAUGGAGGAGGAUGAAGUUUUGUGGCUGCUGCUGCUGUAGGAAUGAGAUGAUAUACCUCUUGACAACUUCACUGCUUAAAAAACGUGAGUUCCUGCUUGUGGCCCGUUGACCCAGCAAAGCGGACAGUGUCGCUGCAAUGCGUGCUGCUGGCCUGUUAUCGCUACGAAUCAAGUAAUCAACAGGUGUAUUUUGAGCUGUUGCCCAUCUCAGCUCACUUGUGGGAGCUUAUGUUCAUCCAUCUGGUUUUCUCACCGUCUCUCCCGUCUCCUCCGACGCCCCAUGAAUCCAUGAUGCAGUCCCUCAAUAGCCCGAUCUGGCAGUGAGGGGCUUGGUUUGAAUCCAGGAUGUGAGGAUGCCAUGGGGUCGCUGAGCUUGGGAGCGGCUAAACAGCUUCAGAGGUCGUCAUUUAAUAAUUAAUAUAAUAAUAAGUGUGCAUAUUUUAUGUUCAAAUCUUAACGUUAUGAAAUAGUAUAGGCAAGUACUUCCAAUUAUCUCAAUUAGUUAGGUUUUUCCGUAGCAAAGCAUGAGUGUUCUGCUAGUAUACUCGAUAAAUGCGGGUUUUGAUUCCCCUUCAGGCGUGUGUUUGGUUUGGGGGUGGAUGUGGGUUGGAACGAGUUCGACCCCUAUUAACCCCCGUUUGGUUGGAAAUGUAGUGGGUUGGGUUCGUCCCCCAUAGGGAAUAUUCCCCGUAGACGUGGGUCCAAUGCUGGGGAGAAGGAGGGGCGGCGGUAGGGAACAGCCAUCCGGUGGAGGAGAGGGGCGGCCGACGGCGCAAAGAGAGGGAGGAGAGGGGAGGGGCGACGCCGUGGAGGCCGGCGCGGGUGGAGGCGGUGCCCAAGGGAGCUCGGGCUCCGCCUAGGGAGCUCCGGCGGCCGGGGCGGGAGGUGUUGGAGGAGGUGGGAUCCAAUGUAAUGGUGUUAAAAUGAUAUCCAUCCCAAUCCUCUUAACUCCUUCAAUCAAACAAAAAAUUGGGUCCAACCCAUCCCUGCAAUCAAACAAGAGAUGGGUCAAACCCAGCUCAGAAAAGUGGGUCGGCUCUGAUCGAACCCACAUCGUUCCAAAACCAAAAUGCAAGUUUAAUUCUGAAACCUUAAUUCUGAAACCUCGACGAUCACGAGAUUUGAGCAAACUUGCAUUUUUUUUAACGAUAUAAAGGGAUGCAAUGUUGCACGAAAACGUAAGUUAGUCAUGACUCAUGAGCUUUUGAAAAAUGUUUUUGGAGGGGUAGUCCGAGACGUGGACAUGCAAAAAAAAAAAGAAGGGAAAAAAAUUGUAGAGGCUGAUGUUCUCUUGAGCCUUGAGGGCGCGAUUUGCAAAAAAAUAAAAAAAAAUAAAAAAUAUGCCAUUUGUUGAGAGUGGGAUUUGAACCCACGCCCUUUCGGACCAGAACCUUAAUCUGGCGCCUUAGACCAACUCGGCCAUCUCAACAUGGUGCUGGAUAAAAUAAAAUCUAAGUAUUGUUCAAUAUAGGACAGGUCCUGGACUAGACUGCUGCAGCUCCUCUUCCACCGCGGUCGGUUGAGUUGCAAACCAUCGGCUUCCCCCCUUCCCGCAGCCAGGCACCCGACCCGGAUGGCCGUUGCAAACCCUAGCAAUGCGAUACACUGAUUAGCUUCCUCCUUCCCUCGCCUGGGUUUGUGCGUGAUCUCUCUCUCUCCCCCAGCGCGCGGACAGCCAGGCGGAUAGGGGCGGGAUGGUUUCCAACAAGGAGCGGGCACGCCGCGCCAUUGACGCCAUGACGGCCCUGGGAUUCUCCAAGAAAGAGUCCACCCCCGUCCUCAGGAGUCUCCUCAAGCUCUUUGACAACAGCUGGGAGCCCAUCGAGGACGAGUGCUACCGCGCCCUCGCCGACGCCAUCCUCGACAGCCGCGACCGCCCCAAGGUAUUCGUCUUGCCCAAAUGGAAGAGACAGAAAGAAAAAAAAAUGUUUUUUUUUUGGUAUUAUUAUGGGAUCAAAGAUGGGCCAAAAAGGCCCUCUUUUGUUUACUACUCUGUUCCUGCCAGACUAAUUUAAAUGGCUUACUGAUGCUUCAUCACUUGCCGCUGCUUGGGUGCAGGAGCCGGAGCAUGGUAGCCACCAUGCAAGAAUGGUUGCGCCGGAGGAAGAUCACCACCAGCCUUCUACUUCCCUUAUCGUCUAUGGCCAUCCCCGUGACUUGGAUAGUGAGAUAGAGGCACCUCGCAUCAAGAGGCCUAGAACCAACUCUAAUAAUUUCUCAGCAGAUCACUGUAUUGAUCCUCAGUUGUCCCCGCCAUCUUCUGUUACUGCACAAGAGAGGGCAAGGCAGAUGAUGGAUGAAGAUUUCCAACAUGCUGUCUUCUUGAGAGAGCCUAAGCCUGAGCCUGAUAUAGAUGUUGCACAGAGCCUUCAUGAUGCUCAAGUUGGCAUUGUUUCCCAUCCGUUCAACACCAGCUCCUCAGGUGCUGCAGAUCCUCUAGCAUCGCGUCCAUCCGUUCAAAAUCAAACAGAGAUUUCAGGUUUGCAUGCAGCAUUCUAAUCGAUUAUUCUGUCAGUAUUUGUGCUAGAAAAUAAUAGGUCAUGGAGAUGUUCAUGUUUCAUAUGUAGAUCACGUUUUUUCACCUUUGGUGUUUGUUCCAUUGAGUUCUCGAUGCACAGGGAAAUUAGUUUGUUGUGUUGAGCAAUCAAUCUGGUUGUCGAACUAGUACUUAUUCAGUUAUUCUUGCUGUUUUUUCUAUGAUACUGUGACUAGUUUCCUUAUUCUGAUGAGAAUCUGCUAAACCUUAUAUAUAUAGGUAAUAAAGGCAGGCCAGUUCAGCAUUGUAGAACAAGGACAUCAUCCACUUCCUUUGUUGAACGCACGGGCAGCAUGGGGAAGCAACCUCAAAAUCGGGAAAGUUUGUCCGAUCACACAGCUGUGAUGCACAACACUGGGACAGGAUCUGCAGAUGAACGUACACAAGAAGCACCUUACUUGCACACUGUUGUAGCAUCAUCCACUAUGGGUGAUGUCAAGAUGUCAAUAGAAUGCAACAUAGACCCAUCGAAGUUCUGCAUGCCCAGUUUAGAAGAAGUUUUCAGGAUGGUUGAGGAUAAAUGCCUUCACUCAUACAAGAGUCUCCCACCAAAUUUUUCCGUUAGCAGCCUGAUCAAUGAGAUAUGCCAAUGUGUAGCACAACUGGCCAAUGGCAGUACUGCAGAAUAUAAUGUACAAUCAGAUUCUUUUGAUAAUGGCAGAAACUCGCAAAAGGAGUCAAUGAUGAGUGGUGCUGCACUCAUGAAACCAAUUGCUUCCAUGAAUAGCGGAGGCAUGAAAUAUAAAUCUGUAGAAGAUUCAUUGGUUUUAGAAACUUCAGAGAAUGGACAAGAAUAUUCAACAGUUCCUCAGCAUCUGGCACUUUCUCAAGUAAGGUGUACCCACGAUGUGUCUGAUAUAUCAAAGGGAGAAGAAAAGGUAAGGAUAUCAGUGGUGAACGAAUUUGGCAGCGAGAAAUGUCCACCUUCCUUUUAUUAUAUACAAAGAAACCUUGUUUCCCCGAAGGCCUAUGACAACAUCUCUGCUGCCGGAAUUGGUGACGAGGACAGUUGUGCUGACUGCUUCGGCAACUGCUUGUCUGCCCCUAUACCAUGUGCCUGUGCAAGAGAAACUGGGGGUGAAUUUGCAUAUACACCAGGAGGUUUGGUUAAGACAACGUUCCUUGAUGAGUGUUUCUCUAUGAAUUUAUUCCCAGAAAAACAUCAUAAGUUCUUCUGUAAACCACUGGAGAGGCCCAGGAAUGAAGCUCUACCAGAGCCUAGCAGACGCCAUCUUGUUAGGAAGGUUAUCAGGGAAUGCUGGAGUAAAUGUGGUUGUAACAUGCAAUGCGGUAACCGUGUGGUUCAACGUGGUAUAGCUUGCAACCUGCAGGUAACAUCUAAUGCUUCUGUAAACUUAUGUUGAUGAAUAUUUAUGUGGCUUGCCAUGAAUGGCUGUCAUUUAUUUCAUGAGAAUUAUACAGCUAAUUACAACAAUUUACCUGAAAUUGGAUAGAUCAGUGCAUAUAGAGUUCCUGGCAACUGUUAUUGGAUUUUCAGAUAAUUAGUGCAUAGGAUAUCCUUCUCAUUCUGGCCUCCCCUGUACCUUAAAAUAUGUUUGGAAUACACUACAGCCCUUUGCUUGUUUGAGACUUUGAACAAAAGGUGUUGCUUCGCAAAAUCAUGUUAGCUUGGUGCUGAGGAAUUGUCAGGCACCAUUCAUAGAUUUUCAGACAUGGUAUUUGUUAAACUGAACAUCAGCUCAACCCUUUCAGUAACAUGAAAACACAAUGGUACUUGUACUGUAAAUUUACACUCAUUGACUGAAAAAUAAACACAUUCUAGGAACACUUAGCUGAACCUGAUUUGGUUGAAGAGGUGUCAGAUUUGAAUGUACAAACCUGUAUGUAAAUACAGUUUGAGCACCAAACCUGCCAAGAAAGACAAAGGCACAAUCAAUACCAAAAGGGGGAAUUUCCAUCCAGCGAGAAUACGUUGGCCUGCGACGGGAUCCCGGCGACAAACACAGAUGGCAGCCUAACAUUAGGACCCGAUGGAGUCGACGGCGGCUUGAUGAUGAGAUCCUUUUGAUCGCACGUCGGCUUGGCUAGGAUGAUUGUUCCAGUCACGACCAACGAGCACAGUGGAGGGGUAGGGGUUGCUGUUGGUAGCAUAGACAUGCGAGGGGGGGGGGGGGGGGGGGGCAACGGCUUGGUGUCAGUUACGCAUUCCAUUCGUGACCAGCGACAACGGCAGAGGUGUUAGGGUUCCUGGUGGCUGUGGUUGAACUAGGAGGAGAGAGGCGCACGAGAUGCGAAUGAUGCGGGUGACACAGGGAUGGGAGCUGCAGCUUUGGGCGAAAUGGACCUGAGAUUCCAUGAGGGUUUAGACGUGCCUGGGCCUGUUUGUCGCCACAUCAUUUUUACGAGCAAAUGUGGACAGAGUGGGAGUGAAAUACAUGAAGAUUUGGGUGGUUUAGGCUUUAGGGUUCCGUCCUAAAUUGGAACUGUAAAUAAGAAGAAAUCUUUUGCACUUGAAUGGAUAUAAUAAAAAAACUGCAGCCAACCUAAGGCAGCAUUGCAAAUAAGAAGAAACAGAUACCCAGGUUUGCGUGGAAGAGGACUCGAACUUGGGUGGCAGGGUGUGUGCACCCACACCUCCCACCAACUGAGCUUAGUUCCUUCUUGGUCCUCUAAUAGUUUUCCUUUAUUUUUCUUCCGCAGUGUUCAGGUAUUAUUGAUGCUGGUUGGUUGAAUUGCUGCUAAUUACUUUCUUUCUUUUUUUUGCCCAGGUGUUUUUCACACAAGAAGGGAAGGGUUGGUUGAAUUGCUGCUAAUUACUUUCUUUCUUUUUUUUGCCCAGGUGUUUUUCACACAAGAAGGGAAGGGUUGGGGUCUACGCACACUUGAUGAACUUCCAAAAGGAGCUUUUGUCUGUGAAUAUGUUGGCGAGUUGCUAACAAAUACGGAGCUCCGUGAAAAGACAUCUCAAAAAGCGUGCAAGGCUGGGUAUACGUACCCGGUGGACUUGGAUGCUGAUUGUGAUUCAGAGGGGGUGUUGAAGGACAAAGAGGCUUUAUGCCUGGAUGCAACAUUUUAUGGGAAUGUUGGGAGAUUCAUCAACCACAGGUGUGCUCUGACUGUUCCCAAUCUGUCCUUGUUACUCUAUUAUUUUUUUAAAAAAAAUGAUAGCAGAGAUGAGUCUUCCCCUUUUCUUUUCUUAUGGUCGUAAUACUCCAUCACAUAGAUGCUACGAUGCAAAUUUAGUUGAGAUCCCUGUUGAAGUGGAGACCCCUCAUCAUCACUAUUACCAUGUAAGUUCUUAAAUUCUAAACUGCUGUGUCCAUACCACGCCUUUGAAAAUGUACAGCAUAGGCAUACCAUGCUGAUGUUUUUUAUAUUUUCUUUUUUCUUUUUUGUUAAUUGAAGCUUGCACUUUUCACAAACAAGAAGGUGGAGGCAUUUGAGGAGCUCACAUGGGUAAGGCUUGUGUAGUUUCUUAAUAUUAAAUAUUAACUUCUGUUCAUAUAUUCAAAGAUGUGUAUUUCUCAAGAUAAAUGUGACUGUCAAAAUCAAAGGCUGCAGAUGCUGUGAGCCUGUGAUAAUAAUUUUUUCCCCAUAUUUUAAGUUUUUGCUCUUGACAAAGGCUAGGGACUUCUCUUGCAAUUUCUGCUUGCCUAUAUUUAUUUUGAGGGUUCUGUAAUGUUUAUCCCAUGGGCAAUGGCUUUGUUAGACAUUCUUUUGUGUGGUUGCAAUGGUAAACCCUAAACCCAAAUUCACAAGUCCUCUUCGCAGUGCUAUACAAAUACCAGAUUUUUCUAGUUUAUUCUCUCUUUUUAGCUAAAUCAUAUUUGCGGCAAGCUUUGUUGGUUGCAUUUUCAGUGCCAUGCUAUGCAGUUUAUUGGAUCAGCCUAGGAUGCACUCUCUCCUAUCCUUGGUGGCUUGACCGAUCAAAACUAAUCUUGCUUGUUUCAGGAUUAUGGCAUCGAUUUUGAUGGUGAUAAACAUCGUGGCGGAACAUUUCAAUGCCUGUGCGGAAGCAGAUACUGCCGCGGCAGGAAGGGUCGUAGUAUGUUCUCCUUCUGCUUGGUCCCAGAACCAUUCUUUUUGAGUGAAUUCUUGCCGGGCUACAGAUUCUACUUUUCAUUGUGCAAGCGUUCUAAGAUGGUUCUUUCAAAUGACUGCAGGGAACCGAGGAAAAGCUGCUGCAAAAUAAGCUGGGGUUGAUGCGAAGCAUGGCUGUUUAGGUUAGCGAGCAAUCUAGUCAGUUGUAGCUUAGCAAGCCGGAAUUUUGUAUGGUCAUAAUUGAUGUUGGAGGGAUGUUUUUGGCUUGCGCGCGCGCGUCUGAGACAAAGCGUUGCUCAUAGGUUAGAUGCAUCAUUUAGCCGAAUGAAACUGCUGAACUUUUAAUCUCGCCCGGCGGUUUGAAUUUGUUUUCGAGUUGGGGGCUGGAAACGGAGGCCCACGACAUCUUCACAGGGCUAUUCUUCUGUAGUCAGUUUAGUUGUGAGUUUUUUGCAUAAUCGGGGGUGUUUUAGCAAAAUUUAUUGACGACAGCGUUUUUUUUAAAAAAUCAUAACAAAGAAUAAGUUAGGGAAAAAAAACUGUGAAGAUGUGGUGGGCGGAUCACGGCGGAUCAGGUCCAAUCAGGGGUCUCCCACAUGCCGAUGGUCAUGGGCUUUCGCCGACGGCACUCGCCGGCGCGCCACACGUGUCCUCCUGUGUGUGGGGCGUGCGCUGUCCGGGCCCGCUAAUAUGUAUGAAUCUAUAAAAGUCACAACAAUAUACGAUUUGUAACGGGGAAAGUAGUCUACUGCACGGGUGAGCCAUAUCUGAUGACAAUUCAAUCAUUUCCCAAACGUCACAGCGUCAGUGCUUAAUCCGGAUAAAUCCAACCCAAAAGAUUACACUUUUCGUCCCUUUUCUCCUCUCCCAGAGUCUCAUGCGUUAGCUACUUGAUGGCCUAACUUUGCCAUGCAUGCCAAUUCCAUAACAUAUCCGAACAAAUAUGUACAGUUUCCCACUUCAUCAUCUCCAGUGCUAUUUCUUUUUCCUAAUUAAAUAAUGUAAUGGCCUGCGAAGGUGCCUACACAGGUGGAAUGCACGUAGCAAUCCGCAAAAGGAACUGGGCGUAUCGAGCUCGAGAUGAGAGCAAGGGUGCUUAUUUUUAUUUUGUAGUCCUUAGAUAUAGACUAAUUACAAAACCUAUUGUACAGUGGAGAUUAAUUCGCGAGACGAAUCUAUUAAGCCUAAUUAGUUCAUGAUUUGACAAUGUGCUGCUACAGUAACCAUUUGCUAAUGAUGGAUUAAUUAGGCUUAAUAGAUUCGUCUCGUGAAUUAGCCUCCAUCUGUGUAAUUAGUUUUAUAAUUAACUCAUAUUUAAUGCUCCUAAUUAACCUCCGAAGAUUCGAUGUGAUGUGGACCUAAACUUUAAUUCAAGAUCCAAACAUCUCUAAUCAAUUCGCUUGCCCAUCCCGGUCGCUGUCCCAGUGAUCUGCCAGGUCAAACCAUUUAAAACGAGCUGAUCUCGCCGAAAGGGCCACCGCGGCUGCCUUUACCGCCAAGCCAUUGCGCGAGCACGAGCCUGCACAGCCCAGUUGACUUGCGCUGGAGGUUGGCGGAUGCGGGCAAGGUGGCACGGAUCGCGCGCGAGGUCAACGCAAAAGGCAGCAUAAAGAAACAGGGUGGGGCGAGGGCCACAAGGGCGCCAGGUAAUCACAGAAUUCGCCGUGUGAUCUGUAUUCUUUUGUUGGUUGAAGCGAUUGGAGAUUGGACAGCCUAAAGGCAUCCGGUCGCCAGCUCCAAUCGGUCGAUGGUGGCCUUUCGCGUGGGCGUGGAUACAUUUUUUUUUAAGGUUGGAGAUUGGAUACGUUUUGACAUGACUGUGGAAUAUCGCCUGUCAUUUUCACCGAGCAAAGCAUUAAAACUUUUUGCCCUUUUGCCCGUGGUUGUUCACUUUGAGAAAUUUUUACUGUUGUACUCAUUCCGUUUUAAGUUGUAAGUUAUUUUAACUUUUCUACAUUUAUAUUUAUAGAUAUUUAUAUAUAUAAUUUGAAAAAGUCAAACUACCUGCAAUUUGAAACGGAGAAAGAACGAUCAGUUAAUUCUGUGACGGUAUAAAUUCCAUUCACACAGUUCUCGGCUGAGAAGUUUUGUUGAGGACUGUGUUGUAAUUUUUCAUUUAAAUGAGGGUCUAGGUGGAAAAAAUUGUGCUAGAGAUCUUCUUAGAGGAGCCGUAGGCGAAUGUCCCGUCUCCCACUCUCCCUCUUCUCUUCUUCCAGGGAGAGAGCUCGAGCUCCUGCUCCUCUCACACCUCCGCCCGCCACCGCCCACCCCCACCCCCACCCCCGCCCCGCCCUCGCGGCCAUGGCCUCCUCCUCCUGCGACGCCACCGCCGUUCCCUUCACCCUCCUGGGCGCGCUCCUCACCGCGGGGCCAGCUGCCUGGCCGGUCUGCGUCGGCGGCGGCCGCGCCUUCCUCCGCGACUACGCCCAGCGGGGCACCAACGCGCUGCUGUGGGCGGGCCUUCUCGCAGUCACCUGGGUCCUGCUCCUCCGCGUCGCCGCGCUGCUCCGCCUCUGGGUCCUCGGCUCCCGCAUCCCGGGGCCUCACGCGCUCCUCGCAGACCCCGGGCUCGCCGCCGUCCUGCGCACCGGCGGCGACGUCACCGGUUGGUAGCCGAUCCCCUUUCCACCGUAUUUGGCUCCACGUAACCAGGAUUCGGUUCAAUUGGUUGGGUUUCGAUAUUUGGGUGGUGGUUAUGAUGGGAUUGGAAUAUUGGAUUUGGCGCCAGCGCGACGUCUGCAACGUGCCAAAAAAAAUUUCGUACGGGCUAUUUGAGAUGCUCGGGCGCCUAUGUGCCAUUUUGGGUACUGUUCGAUUGGGGACUGGAUGUGGUUGGAGCAAUUUGAUUCGAGAUUUGGUAGCUCCUACCUGAGAUGCCAAAUACUUGGUAGAGAUUUGGCUACGAGCUAGCUACUUGAGCAUUGAUCUAUUGGGAAAUUCGUGCUGUUUGAUUGAUUGAUGUGGAAUUUUGCUAUAGUAUAGGCUGAUCUGGGUGGGAGUUGCGGGAUGUAAUUUGACCAUCCGUUUUUGCCGAUUAUAUGCCAAAGUUAUGGCCUAUUUUACUGCCCCAGAGCCUGUGAGCUAGUGAUCCAGGUUUGCCUUUUUGUUUGGUUGCUCUGUUGGAUGAUAACGAGAUGUGAUCUGUACAAGUGGCACAAUAUUUUGUGUAAAGCAUUUAGGCUAGUGUUGAUGUUAUGGUAGCGGGACCGGCUCUAGGCCUUGGCCCACUGUAGUGUAGCGCGUGAACAGUACCGCGGGAUCAGGAUUAGUUUGUUAGCAGAUAAGAUUUGUUAGUUAUUUGGAUUAGAUUUGUUAGCAGGUUUUUAGGUGCCUAGUCUAUAAAGGCAGCCGUGAGUUAUGGGUUAGGCAAGCAGAAAAUAGAUCAAAAGAGCAUCUCAGAGCCUCCUGCGGGAGGGCAAGUUAGCCGAUCUAUCCUGCUGUUCUAGUAUCCAAUGAUCUGCCCACAACAGUUGAGAUAAAAUUACUUAACUGAGCUUUGCCACACAGCAAUUGCACUGCUUAGCACAGAGCACGCUUACCUUAAUUAUUGUUGUAUCGUCAUUACAUCAUGGUCCUACUCUUUUCGAUUCUUAUAAUUCGGGAAGAAAAACAGAAGAGGAAAUCAAUUUACCUUUUGAAGUUCUUGCUGUUUCGACAAAUCUCCCUCAUCACUAUUAGACUAGAUUUUUGUCAGUUGUAUGUCUACGAAGUUUUUACAGAGUUAACCACAUAUUCAAAAAUUUCCUGGGAAUGAGCACUUUUUGUAGAACUUACUAGGACAACUCAGAGAGUGUUGGGUUUGAAAUACUACCAGACAUAAAUGGGUAGCCAUAGGUAGAUGCAUGAUUGUUGAUAAAUAAUUUUUGGUCCCAUGCGAUCCAACAGGGAUAGUGCUGUUCUUAAUGAGCAUGGGCAUAGGAUGGCCCACUCGAGCACUUUAGACCCGUGCCAUCCAACGCUUCAGCUUACAAUGUUCCAGCAAAUAUUCAAGCCAUAUUGCUAGCAAAAUUACUAUUGUGAGCUACCAAUCUUCUGCUUUUUUUAAAUCAUUAUUGUAAAGAUGAAAAUACAUUAUUUGAUAUUUUUGCGUUGAUAUGGCAACCAAGGGUCCUUAUUUAAUAGUUUAUACAAUACAUCCGUUAAUUUAGGCUCAUGUUUUGCUUUGAACUUCAUUUUGCAGGUUUCCUGUCAAAAUUGCAUGGCAGCUAUGGCUCAGUUGUUCGCCUGUGGGCAGGACCCUCUCAGCUACUUGUAUCAGUUAGAGAUCCUACUCUAGUCAAAGAGGUUCUAACAAAGGCUGAAGAUAAGUUACCAUUGACUGGUAGAACAUAUAAUUUAGCUUGCGGAAGACUUGGUCUAUUCGUAUCCUCAUCCGAGAAGGUAAAUUGAUUUACUCUUCUGCUUUUUCUAUAGUGGGCUCUGCAAUAUUUCCUCUCUCUCGUUUCUAGUUUGUAUUGAUGCAUUUGUUUUAUUAACACCAUGUAUAUGCAGAUAGCAUGUUCCAUUGCUACUUUGAUUUGUUUAGUUCUUCUAACCGUCUUGUUCGGCAUUUUUCAGGUCAAAAGUACAAGAGAAUCUCUGAAAAUAUUUUUGAAUGAAAAACUUACAAUUGGUGUCGGUCGAAGUUCAUUCAAAGUUAUUGAUGCUGUCAUGGAUAGAAUCGACUCUAUUAUGUCCAAGGAUUUUCUGGACUGUAGAUCUUUCUCCCAGCACAUGUCCUUUAACAUCAUUGGUGGAACUCUUUUUGGUGAUGCCUUCUUCAAUUGGUCUGAUGCUGUUACUUAUGAGGAACUUCUUAUGAUGGUUGCAAAGGAUGGUUGCUUCUGGGCUUCUUAUGCAGUUUGCCCGUUUUGGAAGCCUAGCUAUAGGAGGUACCGGACCCUUUGUGCUAAGCUGAAGACGUUAACAGAGGGAAUCAUCAGAAAAUCAAGAGAUCAAAAUAGUUCACUUCACCACUUUGAUCAGAGGUCAUAUCUAAAAAGUGAAGGGAUGAUAAAAGGUCUAAAUAGAGGUGUUUUAGGUGAAAUGAUGGCAGGUCAUUGUCUCCAUGGGGCUGCUGAAGGAUCACUUAGUUCAGAAGAGGAAAUCUGUGGAAACAUCAUCGGUUUGAUGUUACAUGGUAUUUCCGCUUCUGCUAACUUGAUUGGUAACAUUUUGACAAGGUUUAUCUUGUUCCCAAAGUUGCAAGAUCAGGUACACAUUAAUUCCUUUAUUUUUCUCUGUUGCAAACUAUUUUGGUUGCUCUCUGUGAUGAACAAUUGCUGGUGUUGUGUUGCCCAUGUUAAUUAUUUGAAUAAGAAAGAAUCUCAAUUCGUGCUCCAUUUUUCUCAAGGAAAGGUUUAUAAAAUGUGACAUUAUUCGUCUACAAAAGUGUGGGGCAAUCUUGAAGACCCUUUAGCCAUAAUAUACUAGAAGGACGGGCCACAACCAUCCACCAUUUUUUUAUGAGUUACACCUCUUCACCCAUGCUACUCUUUUUUUGCAGAUACAUGCGGAGAUUGUUGCAGUCUGCGAUGAAUCAUCUGAGCUGGAGGUUGAUGAUGUGCUUAGGAUGCAAUUACUACUUGCUACUGUAUAUGAAUCUGCUCGCCUUUUGCCUGCUGGACCUCUUCUGCAGAGAUGUUCUUUGAAACAUGGUAUGCAAAUUUUCUAGACCUUUAGAAUGCGAUUGCCUAUCCUGAUUUUAUUAUCAAGAUCAUGAUAGUUUGAAGUUUGAUCCUGAUAUUGGUCCAUGCAUCUAGCUGCAAAAGGGCUCGUUUGUCAGCUACAGGUCAGUUUUGACCCACUUUCGUUUCAUUUUCCUUGAGUGCAGAUUUGACUCUUGGCUUGGGCAUCACUGUGCCAGCUGGAGCAAUAUUGGUAGUUCCUUUGCAUCUUGUGCAUAUGGAUGCUUCUGUGUGGGGCAAUGAUGCUGGCCAGUUCAAUCCUCAUCGGUUCCUCAAAAAGGAUGUGGAUCUUGGAGGUCUGUUCUCUCUUUUCUCACUUUUCUGUUCUAGCAAAACAUAAGUAACAGGUUGUUAAUAACAGGGCAUGCCUAAUAACAGCUCCAGAAGAUUCUUCAUUGAAUUCGUUAUUUUUGGUCUGCAUUUGUUAGACCUUUAGCAUUUUUUUUGCAUGACUAUUGUGAUUAGCCUCUUCCUAAUUCUAUUCUCACUUCAUUUUCUUCAUAUAUUGUAGAUAUAUUAGCAGCACCCAGAGGCUCAAAUGGGAUGAAUCUUUUCACCGAGUGUGCUAAGUCUGAGUCAUUUCUUCCAUUUGGUUCUGGAAGUCGAGCAUGUGUUGGCCAGAAGUUUGCGAUUAUUGCAAUAUCAAUGUUGAUUGCCAGUCUGCUCCGCAACUAUGAGGUUAGAUGCAAUAAUUGUUAUGCUUUGCCUUUUCGUGAUAUGUACACGCACCUUUUGGGAGAUUGUGAGCUGACUUGCUAGAUGGAAUUCCAUGCUUCUGGGCUAAGUAUUUACUCUUUUUCAUCAGUUUACGUUUAAACUUAGUGUUGAUUGGAACUCAACCUUGCAGGUACAGACUCAUCCAAGUUUGUGUAAAGAAAUGGAACCUGAAGUUCACAGCAGCCAUGUUCACCAUCUCCCAAACCCGAAGAUCAUCCUCACAAAAAGAAGGAUCUAACGGGAGGGUUUGGCAAAUUCAAAUUUGAUGCGUUUUCUUUCACUAUAUUCUUUUUUACUGGUGUCACACCAGGAUAUGCUAGUUUCAUACCGUCGUUGAAUCACGCUGAAGUUUGGAAAGGCGAUACUUUGCGAUGUGGAAGUUAUCUUUUUUUUCCUCCAGAUUUUUGACAGACCCAGUGUGCUUCGUCCGAUCUAGUUUUUGUUAGAUUUUUGGAGCACCCACGGGCUGUCAGAUCAUGGGAGGUGUAUGCUGAUGUGCAUAAACAAGUUGGGGGUUUUUAAGUUGGAGUUUUCUCCUCCCUCUAGGAGGAAUGUAAUGUCCAAUGUAUCAUGUUGUCUCAUACUAAUGUAUUGUAUGAUACAUGUAAACAUGUUUCAGCUGUUCCUACAGCGUAAUAAAUUGUGAAAAAAUUAUACAAAUAUCUGCUGUGUUGGAUUUGCUUCAGCCUUCAGGUAGUAGGUAGAGAUUUCUUUAAAAAAAACAGGGAGGUGAGGGUUAAAUGCAUAAUGUACUAUAUGUAAGCAACCAGCCAAAGCCAGUAAGCUACCGUAUACGGCAGUGGUCGUACCCUGCUACAGUGCUGUGAUUUCAGGAUAAGUUGCGGCACGACACGAUCAUGUUUCCGAUGCAGAUGACCAGGCGUCAGGCGAGUACUUCGCCGCGAACGGCAGAGCAAGCGCAGGACUGCGAUCGGAUCGGCGGCGUCCGGCAGAGGUGCAAGCCGGAAAUGCUGGCCCCCUCACCGUUGUUCGCCUUCCUGCACGGUGCAGGGAGCGGUGCGCCACCGACAUAUCGCUUGCCGCACCGACGACGACCACGUGCCGCCGCCGCUCGUCGCGCGACGGCUCAUCAUGAGAUUCUCCGGUCAAGCUCUCGAGGUCCAAUGGGCACGUGUAGGAGGAUCAUCCCAUGACCAGACCUUACAGUACGAGCAGGCGCAUGGCCCUGCUUCUGCUUGGCUCACACCUGCCCAGGCCGGCGCCAAAUGAAAUGAUCAGAGACGAGCAGGGGGGCCCUGCGUUUUAUGUCGGCGGCAGAUGGUUGGUUGACUGGCGAUCAAGUGCACGCAUAUUCCCAAGCAUUCAGCCCGUUCGGAAGUGAUUGGCAAGGAAAAGCCUAAACAAUGGCCGCAUAGGCACACAGCCGACGCCGAUUGCCGAUUGGCGGCACGCGCCUGGGCAGGGGACAAGGAUCGCGAGCUCUCAUGCCGUUCGUCUGAGACGCCAGCCAGGUCGCGGUAAUUCCAAAGAACUGCGUUGUAUUUGUUGUUCAAAACUCAAAAUCAAGCGCAAGAUCCUGAGCUCGCAACGAGAAUGCUUCUUGAAAUCCAUGGAGAUUUACUUCAAGAAAAUUUUGGAUCUGCGCCUGCCAACGCUACGCUAAACAAGUUGGUAUCGCGCAAGCACGCGGCUCGUAAUCUAUUACUCCGUAUUCAGUACGAUAAAGACCCCUCUCGCUGCAGUAACAAGUUUACUGGCGUACAGCGGGCAGUAUAAAAUACCCAGGCUGCACAGUGACAGUGAACACCCACUGUAGUUUCACACUUUCGCUCACUCUGACGGCAUCAGCUAGCUGCUGAUCGCCUUCGCAACAACAGAUGCGUAUGGCUCCUCGGGGUAGUAAUGGCAGCGGCGGCGGCACCAAGCUGUUGCUGUGCUUGCUGCUCGUCGCGUGCACCGGGGCUGCGGGGCAGGGGCUCCGGGUGGGGUUCUACCAGCAGAGCUGCCCGGACGCGGAGUCCAUCGUGAGGAACGUCACCUGGCCUGCGGCGGCCGCCGACCCCAGCCUCGCCGCCAAGCUUCUCCGCCUCUUCUUCCACGACUGUUUCCCGCAGGGUUGCGACGCGUCGGUGCUGCUGGACGGCCGUGGCACGGAGAAGGCGGCGGGCCCGAACCUGUCGCUGGGCGGGCUGGAGGUGAUCGACGCGGCCAAGGCGGCGCUCGAGCGGUCCUGCCCGGGCACCGUCUCCUGCGCCGACGCCGUGGCGCUCGCCACCCGUGACGCCGUCUCGUUCCAGUUCGGGCGGCUGCUGUGGCAGGUGGAGACGGGGCGGCGCGACUCCCGCUUCUCCGACGAGGCCGACGGCACCAAGCUCCCCAACCCGGAGUACGUGUUCCCGAUCCUCAGGGACUCCUUCGCCCGGCGCGGCCUCGGCGUCGCCGACCUCGUCGCGCUCUCCGGCGCGCACACGCUGGGCCGGACCACCUGCAUGUUCGUGUCCCCGAGGCUCUACACCUUCCAGGGCAACGGCGGGGUGGACCCGUUCAUCGAGCCCAGGUACGCGCGGGAGCUGAUGGGGCAGUGCACGAGCAUGGCGUCGGCGAACAGGGUCGUCAUGGACCCCGGCAGCGAGUUCGCCUUCGACACCAGCUACUACAGGGCCAUCAAGGCCAACCGCGGCGUGCUCCUCACGGACUCCGUGCUCACGCACGACGACGAGGCGGCGAGGCUCGUCGACGAGAUGCAGGACCUGGGCAAGUUCCUCGCCGCCUUCGCCGCGUCCAUCCAGAAGAUGGGCGCCAUGGACGUGCUCACCGGCAGCCAAGGCGAGAUCAGGAGGAACUGCCGUGUCGUCAACUACUAGUGUGUGUGACUGUGUGUGUGUGUGUCUUUGCUUGGCCAAUUGUGGUAGGAGUAGGAUUGCUUUAACUGAUUGUGAGCAUAUGAAGUCUUAUAUCUUAAGAAUAAAGAGCACAAUGUUGACAUGGAUAUCUUCAUUUAACAAAGGAACAUAGGCUUUAGCAAUUGUUCCGUUCUUCCUCCAAAAAAUUGACCGGAUUGGAAAGUGACGUCCUCCGUGCUCGCUGCCAGACUGCGGCUCGCAUGAUUUGUCCAUUCUCCGGACAGAACGCCACGAACGGCAGCAAAACGACGGCCGUCGCUGGGGGCCUGCGGCCUCACCGGCGCGAGGUCUGGUCAGGUCAUUGACGCCGCCGCCUUUGCCACGAAUGGACGGCGGCACGGCGCAGUCACGGAAGCAGGUCGUGCGGCGGCGCCACCUGUUCGGUAUGGAACGAGCCGACGCCACGACGGCAGCCCUUGGGCGGCGCGACGCUGCCGCUCGUCUGGCAGAACGCCGCGGAAGCGCCGAAGCUGAGAACAGCGGCCUCCGCCGCGGCCCUACCGGCACGAGCAUGAGGAAUCAAAGAGGCUCUCCAGGACGGUUGCCAUCGACGCGGGGGACGGCCAGGACGCGGCGGCGCACCGGCGAGACGUCGCGCGACUGCAUGAGACGUGCCGUGGGGUGGCCAGGGUGGUACCUUUUAACCGCUGGAUCGGAUCUGUGCGUCCGCGAUCAUCCCAAUUGCAGCCACCCGCCCUGCCUCCGAGAAGAGCGCCCUUGCCACGGCUGGCUGCGGCUCCUGCGCGCGCCAGCGGAGAGGCGUUAACGCUCGCCGCGUCGCUGGGCGGCCACGGCCUCCGACCCGCCGCCAAACUCUCCCAGAACAACGCCGUGCCACCGCCCGGCACAUAUUGGAGCAAGUUGAAGUGCGAUUUGGUGUAGUCGGCGAGCGCCGCCGCGACGGGUACGAGGCCGGGCACGACAGACGGCAUCAGCUGCAAUUCCUAGCUAAAGAUCGGGGUUCAGUUCCAUGUCGUUCAUGGAGGCGCGGAGCUCCAUCUCUACUUACCUCCAAGUUUCUACAGAUCCGACUCCCCUCUCUUUUCUCAUGAUCGCCACACCACCGCCGUCCUUGGCGCCGACGCCGGCGCGCCACCUCCUUUGCCGCGACGUUUGGCGCGGUCACAGCCGCCGGCUGAAUAGUCGUGGCUUUUGUGGCGCGCCACCUCACCUCUUCGGCAUGGAACGAGCCACCGCCACGGUUCUGCGUCCCGACGAGUCCCGCCGAACGCCACGGUUCACGAGCAGCUCGGUGGCAAUUGGUAACGCCGGUGGACAAGGACGCGGACGCCGGCGGACGUUCCUGAGGGCCUCCUUAUCGGCGUAAAAAGGGAUUCUACAAACGCAUGCUGAUGUUGACGCCGUGCAGCGGGAUGCGGCGGCGCUCCGGCGAGACGUGGGUGGAUGCUGAAUUGUGAAGCGCGAGCACGCUGGGGUGGACGGUAAAUGAAAUACCGUCCACCCCUUGGGUAUCUUACGCCCGUUGGAUCGGAUCUGGGCGGCCGCAAUUAACCCAAUCCAAGCCCCGAUCCGGCCUCUUCUGAAGAGCGGCCGCGCGCGCCAGCGGCGAUGGGAUGGAUGGCCGCGCUCCGGCGCCGGGCGGACACGGCGGCCUCCGACCAGCCGCCAGUAUCUUCAACGACGACAAAGCCACGGCGCCACCGCCACCCGCCGGUGAAAUGCACAAGACCCUCCGGUUUGGCGGUGCCUUUGCCCCCGACACGGCCGUCAGUUACAGGCUUGCUCGAAGCAGCACGGCACGGGGGCCGGCCGGUGCUGAUCUGCGGCGGCUAUAGCUUGUCUGGAUCGUCAACCGGUUCGAACCUUGGUAGGAUGUAAUGGAACGGCCAACGCAACGAUAUUUCCAAUAAAAAGUUGCUGAUGUUCGUCUGGAAGUAAUCGACCUGGGACGACGAAAUGGUCUAUUCAUUCCCAGCACAGCAGCAACAAGCUGUAGCUUGGGUGAUUGCAGUUGCAGAUGCCCGAGGACAAAUUAAUCAAUGGACAGAUUAAGCAAAAUUGUUUUGUAAUCAAUCUUUCUAGUAAAAAUGCUUCAGAAUACCCAUGAGAGCAAGUUCAAUUGAAAUCUUCGUGAUGCACAAAACCAGCCACACAAAUGUUGCUACACAAAUCCUACCAACAAAAGAAUCAGCACCAGGUUCAACGGCAGAACCGUAAGUGGCCCAAUUGGAAGCCCGGCGGAGCCGGCGAGUAUUCGCCGGAGGCCGGAGCCCGUGCUGGUGCUGAGCACGACGGCUCAAUCAUCAUAGCCGGCUGCGCGACCACAUGUUCGGCAUAGCCCCAACGUCCUCCGUGGCCCAUGUAAUUAUCGAAGAUGAUUCUUAAAUUAAAGUUGUCUCAGUGUGAUGAUUGCUAGACUAAAGGCUUAAGAUCAGUCUCAGUGCACAGUUUCAGUGCACAGUUAACAAGACCGAGAACUUGGUAACUGUGCCAGUUGAGUGUCAUGUGGAUGAAACUUCUCUCUCAUAUGAUGAAACUUCCUCUCGUAAUGGCCUUACCAAGUCAGUAUUUUUGCGACGUGGCAACAAAUUUAAUGCUCAUGAAACUCCUAUAAAAUUACUAUUGAGAUUGGCCUAAGAAUCAUGGGUUGAAAUACCCUCUCCUCUUCCUUCAAACAUUAAGCAUGUGAUAAUGGUUUAUGAAACUAUGAGAUCCAGUAUUUUACAAACCCUCCUAUUUUCGAUCCAAACUAGGGUUUAAUGUGUAAAAUAUCCGUACCAGCGACGGGCAGGGGAGGAGGCCGCGCCGCCACCGGCGGGCGGCACCAACCCCGUCGCGAUACAUCCCGAGCCACCGUCCCCGUAGGCGAGCUACGGCUUCGGUCCACCUAGAUGGCCGGGGGACAGCGACCUCAUCGGCGUGAGAUCCUUCUCGUCCUCGCACCAAGCGGCGGCGAAUGCCUGCCGCGCCGGACUACUGGAACUCGGCCAGAGAGCUGCUCCUGCGUGACGGCGCCAUGGGACGCUCACGGCCAGCACGGCGGCGGGUGACGUUGUGCGAGGCGCCGGGCUGGAGCGGAUGGCGGCGUGCGCGGCCAUGGGUGUUCGAGGGCCGUGGCGGCGUGGACGCGCUCUCUCUGACUCCGCAGCGAACGAGCCCUUUAUUCAGUCGAUGCUGAACGUACGUCUGAACGAGCCCUUUGUUCAGGCUUUCAGAUCUUGCACUAGGCAUUCCCCGUCCGUGCAGUGCAUGAGUAGCAAGGAUUUCUCGGCAUCAUAACAGCACGUUCGAGGCUAGGGAAGGCCUUGGAAGCAAGAGGGUGCCGCAUUGUGUUGGUGCACGCUCAUCACAUGCCUCAACUGAACAACAACAUGCUGCAGCGCCACACACUUGGCAUCAUCACUAGGCGUCAUCAGGCAAACUAGCUGCGAAAUUGCAACAGCCAGAGUUUAAGUAGUGGCGUGCCCUCCUGUUUCUUUGAAACAAACAGCCUGAGUUGAAGGUAUAGACCCGGCCAAGACAGAUGUAUGAGUUUCUUCAUGACUUCAGGAAAAGGGAAAUUCAGGUCUCUGCCUUCAGUUUACAAGUGAAGACAGAGAGAAUUCCUUCCUGGAUAAUGGCAUUGGCUAAGCUCGGUCCAAACAAACACAGACGGACUAAAGCUAAAAGGUGAAGAAGAUUAAGAGUGGUUUUGUAACCGUUGCAUCUUUCAGAUGACUCCUUGGCUUCACACUCUUGGCUGGAACCAGAGACGAGCACUUGCAGAUAUAUUAUUUUUAUUGACAUCUUUUAUGUGAUGAUUAGUGAAUCGAGAAGUAGAUUGAUUCCUUUCAACAGUUGCAUCUAUCUACCAUCAACAUCACAUGAUAGAACCAUCAACAUCACAUGAUAGAAUUACCCACAAUAUUCACUUAAUUUUAGACCUGGAUAUCAACCACAUUCCCCACCAGGCCAUUCUGCUCGGCCGUUCCUGCUGAGCCAGAUGUUUCCAAAUACGUCGUGAAACUUUGGAGCUUCAAUGCCCAAACUCCUGAAGAAUUGGGUGAUCAUGGAUUCAUGGCUGUCUCUCAUUCUUCGAACCUUCGCCUAGGAAUCCGCUGUGUUCCUUCGUAAUCUCCACUGGCUUAGCAAUUUCAUUGCCAGCUCUAUGAAUGAGCAUCUCAUGGUUUCAGACUUUCAGUCAGGCUUCUUCUGUCGACCACGAUUGCUUGGAACGUGAAUAUUUGGACAUGUAAAUGGAUCAUUUUCUUGGUUUAGCAGCAGCAACGAGGCACCUGAGACCUGAGCUGCAAGAAAUCCUCACCCCUGCAGCUCAACCUGCUUAGUUCAGAAAGAUCUUGGGGUCUCCGGUCAACCACGACGGCCGCUUUGCUAAUCUGCAGAAACCCGCCGGACGGCGCGAUGGGAGGACCCAUCUCGUUCUGUACGUCGGCACACCCAAGUUGGGCAGACGAGCGCGCGCGGCGGAUUGGAUCGUCGACAUGGGAGCCGGCGAAGCGAAUGACGGGGUUCCUUGCCGGCGGCCGCACAGCACCCACUGAAUCUCCGGCAUCUCCUGCGGGACGGGGACGAAUUGUGAAGAGAUGAUUCUAGAGUUUGAGGCGGAAGGGUUGGGCUGCGCAUUGCGCUCGCACUGUACGGGAGGUGCGCGGCUGCCGGCGCCGGCGGAUCGCCAUCAAUAAUCCAAGCUGAGGGAGGGGGAAGAGGGCUUUUACGUAAACUACCAGGGGUGUUUUAUACAAAAUAUUGGAUCGUUUCGCGAUCCAAAAUGGGGGUUUUAUGUAAACUUCUGGUCCUGAUAUUUUCACACGAGCUCCUAAUUUGGAUCGUGACUAUUAAUCGUAUCCAAAAUAGGGGGGUUUAUGUAAAAUACUGGACCACUAUUUUUCAUAAAACCUCCUAAUUUAGGUCGCGACUAAAUCGCGAUCCAAAUUAGGAUCUAAUCUGUAAAAUUUUGUCAGCCAUAUUGCGGCGGCGGUUGCCGGUGACCCGACGCCAACCCCGUCGUCAAUUCAUCAUCUAUCCAGCGUCACCGUCCCCGUCGGACGUGCGACGGGGCAAAUUCACCGCAUUGGCCUACCUCAUUAGCGAAAGGUCCUUGUCAUCCUCCUUGUACCAGUAGGGUGGUAAAUGACCUUCUAAUUUAACAUAGCAAAUUUAAGGAUCGGGUUCAAUAAAGAUCAGGUCAUAAUAUUAUAUGAUUAGGUCAUAAUAUUAUAUGAUUUUGAACCGUAUACUGAGUUGGAUGGUGAAUAAAGCAUGAGGGUCAUAAUCCGUUACCACCCCUAGGUACUAUGCGGCGGAGAGAUUGUACGCUCAUCCAGGAGGAGGUCGCCUGCGAGAUUGUAACUCCAAGUAUAUUCCAUCGGCAGCUCCAAGUAUGGCAUUCACAUUCACAUAAUGUUUGUGGAGCUAGAACUGCAAAUAGCAAGUGAACGAAAUUGGGGCCACGGACAACUCCAAGAGACAGGCAAGGAUCUCUACCGUCUCAUUUCUAGUGAAAACAUGAGUUCUAAAGCAAAAUCCACAUGGGUUUCUCAAUAUUUAUUUGUCAGAUCAGGUACUGUAGGAUUCUGGAUUGUAGAUUUGAGCAGCCAUACAAUUGAUAACAGCAUCAGGAGAGAGCGGCCAACAGGUUAAGCUUUUAGGAACAAUCACAAAAUUGGUGAAUAUCAGGGUGUGAAGCAAUCAUAAAUCAACCAAGGAGAUUCAAAUAUCAAACUGCAGUCAAUUGCAAAGGAAAGACGAGGGUUUAUUAUAGAAAGUGGGAGCCUGGACCAGAAAUAUAGGUGUCUCUUCCGAUGAUAAGAGCUGGCACAGAAAAGAAUUUGGUACUGACACAAAAAUACGGACCUGGAUCGGAUGCAGUGAUAAAUGUUACUGCAACUUAGGGGCUGUUUGGCAAUUGGUGUUAAAAUUUAACACCCAUCACAUCGGAUGUUUGAAUGCUAAUUAGGAGUAUUAAAUAUAGGCUAAUUACAAAACUAAUUGCACAGAUGGAGUGUAAUUCGCGAGAUGAAUCUAUUAAGCCUAAUUAGUCCAUAAUUUGAUAAUGUGGUGCUACAGUAACCAUUUGCUAAUGAUGGAUUAAUUAGGCUUAAUAGGUUCGUCUCGCGAAUUAGCACGGGGUUCUGCAAUUAGUUUUAUAAUUAGCUCAUGUUUAGUUCUCCUAAUUAGCAUCCGAACAUUUGAUGUGACACUGUUAAAGUUUAGCACCUCGUAUCCAAACACCCCCUUAGGGUGCGUUUGAUAUCAUGCGCUAAUUUAGUCCUGUCACAUCGGAUAUUCGGAUGCUAAUUAGGAUGUUUAAAAAUAUGAGCUAAUUACAAAACUAAUGGUUAAAUCGCGAGACGAAUUUAUUAAACCUAACUAAUUUAUCAUUAGCGAAUGAUUACUGUAGCACCAUAUUGUCAAAUCAUGGACUAAUUAGGCUUAAUAGAUUCGUCUCGCGAUUUAGCUUAGGGGUUGUACAAUUAAUUUUGUAAUUAGUCUAUAUUUAAUACUCCUAAUUAGUGUCAAAUAUCCGAUGUGACAGGGGCUAAAGUUUAACGCUAGUCUCCCAAACACCCCCCUAAGCAGUAUCACUAACAUCUGCCGUCCAACAACCACUCAACGCUCCGGAUUGAAUGUCCUUCUCAAGACUCUUCUUCCUCCUCCAUCCACUGCAUCCAUCCUACGGCGAUUUGGCUCACUCAGUCCAUACACAGCACCAAAACGAAAUCACUCUAAGAAGCCAUGGGUAAGAGAGAGGAUGUAUGAGCAGCUUGGCUAAAACUCUCUACUCCACGUACAGAUUCUCCUCCUUCUCCCCUCCAUGAACCAAUUCUUCUUUGUUUCUCUAUUGACUUAAAUCAGAAAACAAGAAACAAAAAAAAAACAAAGAAACGUUACAAGAACAAGAACACCGUCCCCUGUUACAUGCAUUCAUUUCAUUGGCUGCUCAAAUCCAUCGGAUCACCAAGCCAUUCUCAUCAGCUUAGCUUCCUCAGAAGUCAAAAUGGCAGCUCUUGGCGCUCAUCCUGUAAAUCUUAAGCACCUCCAGCACCAUCUGCCUCACCGCCGGUGAGGACCAGCUUUGCAUCAGCAGCAGCCUCGUCAGCCCGCCCUCCUCCGUCGCCUGGUGGUCUCGGUAUCGGUGGCAGACCGACUAGAGCACGGCCUCGGCGCCGUCGCGCCCGGCCUUCAGUCAUCUUGCCCACCACGACUGGGACGUCCUCGCACAGUGCGGCACGGCCCUCGGUGCACCCGACCGCGAACUCGAGGAUCCAAAGCGUCUUUUGCGAACUCGGUGAACGGAGGAAGAAGAAGAGUCUUGCGAGGGGAAAGAAGCAGAGGUGGGCCAGCUGUUGAUCCAGGACGUGCGUUAGUUGUUGGAUGGCGGAUGCUGGUGCUACUGCUUAAAGUUGCAGUAACAGUUAUCACUGCACCCGAAGUUCACCGGUUCUAAGAUAAAUGCUGCAGAUGCCCAUGGGGUAUAUCAAUCCGUUGACAAAUUAAGGAAAUCAGUUUCGUAAUCACUCUUUCAAGUAAAACUUUUUAACUUGGCGAUGAGACCAAGUUCAAUUGAAAUUUGAAUGAUACAAAAUGAGCCACACAGAUGCUGUUACUCUCUUCGUGGUGUGUAUCAGUACGAUCAACCUCUCACUUCAUCAGCAAAACUACAGAUCCUACCAACAAAAGAAUCAUCAGGCUGAACGGCUGGACCGGAGCGGCCCAGUUGGAUCCCGGCGUAGCCGGCGAGUAGUCGCCGGAGCCCGUGCUGGUGCUGAGCACGACGACGACCCAGUCCCCCUCGUUGGCGAUCCCGACGCCGGAGAACUGGCUGUCGUUCAGGAACCGGUUGUACUGCGACUUGGUGUAGUUGGUGAGCACGACGCCGGGGACGAGCCCCGGCACGCACGCCGGCAUCACCUGGCCGUCCUCGGUCACCGACGCGUUGAGGUGGCAGUGGUCAAGGUACUUGGGGUAGUCCGGGAACUGCUGCUCGGUGCCGAUGACGGUGUUGGCGCCCGUCGUGUUGGUGCACUGCUGCCCCUUGAACUGCUUCGCGAGCUGCUCGGCGAGGCACGCCGCGUUCUUGUUCUCCGUCAGUGCCGGGACCUUGAGCGAGGACCUGUAGCUGUUGAUGCCCUUGAGAAGCUGAGCAUCGUUGCCUGAAAAAGAGGAAUCAGUAUAAGAAAACGAUACACAAUUUCUCAAUUUCAUGUAUGCUGCCACAUCUGAUCAAAGUGAUUGCACAUAUAGCAUACAUGAAAUUUCUAGAUUUUUUAUUUGUGUGUGCAUGAGUUCACGAGAUCUUGAAUUUAAUCGUUGAUCUCCAAACAUUGCAAUUGUAGUACUAAAGCAACAGCUUGUUCAUUUUUCUAUUCAACAGUAGCUGAGGUAAAUGCACUUGAAAUUGCACCAUGUGCCUCCACUCCAGUACACUUGGCACCAACUCAAUCAGUAGCAUUAGCGAGUGAUCCAUUUCAUAAUGCGAUGCAACAUGUGCAGCAGGUAAUAUUAUAUAGAAUUCUUGUUUGUUACGCCAAUGACACCUCUGAAUAUCAGAUCUUGCACGCACACGCACAAAGGCGAAUUAUAGCACUAGAAUAGUGGAUCUACCGAUCGCACAUUGAAGAAAAAGCAUGGGUCAACAACAUUUCCAGUGCAGCGGGUGACUCAAACCUGCCAAGCAAGACAGCUUGCGCACAAACAGAGAAAUGGAAUGGGGAAUAAACAAGCUCAGAUCCAUCGAAUUGUACAACAGAGGGCCCCACAUCCGAGCGCGACAUCGAAGCCAGCGGCUCUGAUUUCUGCAGCAACCUAGUAGCAUAACGAGACGGGGGAAAGAAAAAACCAGAAGAGGCCAUGAGCUCACCGUCAGAUCUGGCGCAGUGCAGGAGGGAGAAGGCGAGGACGAGGAAGCAGAGGAGGGAGAUCCUGGAAUCCAUUUCUGCUCCUGACCAACACGGUGCUGCGGCAACAGCUUAGCCUGCCUCCAAUGGAAGGAAGAGUGAGGCAGGGGCGACAGGUAUAGGCGGAGGCGCGAGGAGGAAGGAGGCGAGUUGCUGUCACCAACCACCGCCAUUCCCUUUACGCUUCCUUCCGGCCAGCCCCCAAAGCGAUCAUUUCUCAUUAGCGUUUUUCUUUUUGCAAAUUUAUUACACAGGCAAUUAAAUGGGAGUAAGUGAUUUUGAAGGCCACUUUUACGGUAGCCCUUUGUGGACAAUUGGUGAUCUGAAUCACUGAAUGUGAAAAGGGUUUCAUUAGCGCCUCUACUACUUUCCUUUGGGGGCUCUGAAAAGCUCACUGAAGCUUUGCAUUUGCUCCUGGUCACAAACAGCAAUAAGAUGGGAUUGGGAACAUGCAGAAAACAUCUCUGAAUCACUCUCAUGAAAGCUCACAGAAGUUCAGAAGAGAUCCCUCUAAUUUUGUGCCUGCAUUUUAAGGACUUUAUUUAAUGCACACUUCCAUCAGUUUCUUUCGGUCUUCCUGGCUACACUUGCUCCUGGUCCUGCACUGCACUGUCGGUGUUGCUCCAUCCAUAGAUAAAGAUUGAAACAAUUUGUACGUCACACCCUAACUAGAGAUACCAAGCCCAUUAAAUAAACAUAAACCAUAGAAAAACAAAUAAAGAACAGGUAAAUGUUUUGGUAGUUCGGCACGGACGUCGGUGCGUUAACUAACGCCGUAGGGACAGCGCACCGUCACGACCAUGAUGUUAUGAUGUUGGAACCGUCAACCGACUGCUUUGCCUCCCUAUACGGCUCCGCACGUGAAAAAAAGUUCGGGCCUGCUAGCGCCGGACAUUUUUUCCCCAUAAGACAAUCCGUUGCAACAUUGCAACAUCAAAAACUUAAAGCUGCAACAUUAAAAAAAUAACUAUGAUGUUUGAUUCUAGGAUAGAAAAUUCCCACCACAACAUGAGCACUAUGUUUCAUACGAAAAUAAUAGUUGCAACAUCGAUAAUUAGCUAUUGAAACAUAUCUCAAGCCGUCCAACUUUUUAAAAUUCCGGACAUCAGAAUCUUAGCAUUACCCAAAAAGCUUGCCAUCUCACAAGACCGACCGUGGAGUUUGUGUGCAAUUUGCCUGUUUGAUCGAAACUCUUCUCAAAAAGAGGUCUAAAUGCCUACCAGAAUUAGGGGAUGCUACAUCAAACUCGUGAGCGGCACUAAGCAUGCCAGGCACCGUUCCCGUUUUCCAGAGGCACUGAAAGAUAGCAAGUAACAGUUCUAGAUUUUAUAUCACUGAUCACCUAAGUUCAUGUUGGCGAUAAGCUAAGUCAAUACAGCAGUCAACACAGGGCUGGAUGACACCCCUGCUUUAUCUACAUGACACGAGUUCCUAGUCUCUACCAGAGUUGCCGGAAAAGGCGAUAUGUACAGCAUCUACGAACAAACUACCAGAUAUGCUACUAUAAAUCAGAAUCGACUGAACACACGCCGGCUGUUGGUCAGGCUACGAUCACCAGAAGGGCAGGGGGGCUACGAUCACCAGAAGGGCAGGGGGCUGGGCUGACUUCAGAACCACGGGUGCCAUGUCGGGUCCAUCAUGCACAAGUUCCUCGAGGAUAAUGCCGCUUCUACCAGAUCUGUGACGCCUCUUUGGACCGACUGAGGUGGCUCAGUUGCGUUCUCCUCCUGAUACAAGAGAAUGGAUCAUCAGAUGUGUGACUUGAAUGUUCUGCAUCUAAAUUCUUAUAGGCGGCAGAAGCAUAUACUAAAUAGCAGUAAGAAUCAUUGUUUACAUUCAAAAAGAAUAAUGUAGCAUUGUCCAACUAUUUUAUCUGGAUGCUAGCACAUUGUAGCAGCUACUGAGCCAAAUGAAAAGGUGGGGCUGAGGAUUGAUGAUAUUAGAAUUUCAUCAAAAUAACCUGAUCCUCUGGUCAAUAGAUGUUGCCUUUGAAAAAACAGGUACUGUGGAAUGUCACGUAACAAAUUUUAUUCUAUGUUUGCAGAAGGCAAAUCAGCAGCACCCACAAAAAAAAAGAAAAAGAAAAAAGG
Molecule: long non-coding RNA, 45168 nt
Filed under: Setaria viridis
Lineage: Eukaryota; Viridiplantae; Streptophyta; Magnoliopsida; Poales; Poaceae
Description: long non-coding RNA (SVIR_LNC002472)
Source: RNAcentral